Molecule: long non-coding RNA, 66972 nt
Filed under: Hordeum vulgare
Lineage: Eukaryota; Viridiplantae; Streptophyta; Magnoliopsida; Poales; Poaceae
Description: long non-coding RNA (HVUL_LNC009934)
Source: RNAcentral
GUGGUUGUCGUCAUCGUGCUCGUGCUCGUGCUCGUGGUCAUCGUCGUCGUCAUCGUCGUCGUCGUCAUGGUCGUCGUCUUCUUCAUGGUCGUCGUCGUGAUCGGGGUCCUCCUCGUGGUCAUCAUCAUGGUCGGGGUCCUCCUCAUGGUCGUCGUCAUGGUCGGGGUCCUCAUCACCGUCGCGCACACGACCACGGCGCCCACGUCCACGCCCACGCCCGCGUCCACGCCCACGCAGACGGCCGUGCCCGCGGCGCGUGUGGUUGCCGCCAUGGUGACCGGUGCCGUUUCUUGCAACGACAACGCCGCUGCUGUUGCUGUUUGCCGCCAUCAGACCAAGGGACGAGAUGUUGAUGACCGCCGCGUGGCCAUGGCGUCCACGGAGGCGGCGGUCACUGUCUCCACCGUGGUGAUCGUCGUCGCCGUCGUCAUCAUCGUUGUCGUCAUCAUCAUCAUCGUCAUCGUCGUGGUGGUGAUGGUGUCGGUCGUCCUCCGGAGGGCUGGGCGGCAGGAUGGAGCAGGCCUGGCUGGCAAUGGCGAACUGACUGAUGCAGAAGGCCUUGGCCUUGCCCUGCUGCGCGGCGACGGGGGCGAGGAGGGAAGGGAAGAAGAGGAGGACGGCGGCCAAAGCCGCGAUGUGGGACGCCGAUGCUGCCAUCUACGGAGUCGUGGCUGCUAUGUGAAGUGCCACACUAGUGCAUGCCGGCCACUUCUUAUAAAGAUGUGUAACCAAGUCAGUAAUGUGCAUUAGAGAGGUUAUUAAAUAGUUGGGGUCAAGGCCGGGUUGGGAGUGACCUGGUCGAUCGAGAUGCACACAGCAUGGUGCAUGGUUGUAAUUAGUUAGGUGCUUCAUAACUAUGGCGUGCAUCCAGGAUUGUCCAGCCAUGUCCACCUUGUUUACAUGCAUGAAGGCGUGCAUUGUUGGUGAGAGGCCAGUGACAAUUUGGUUGUAUUAAACUUACUAAAUUAUUAUGUUCGUCAAUCUUAAAAGAAGUCCGCCUAAUUUAGAAUGUUUAGAGGUUGUUUGCAUUUGUUAAGCUGUCUUACAUUUUGUUUUUCAUUUACCCCGCUGGUUAAAAGAGAUAAUGAUAUGUACUCCCUCCGUUCUUAAAUAUAAUUUUUUUAGACACUACAAAACUACAUACAAAUGUAUAUAAAUAUAUUUUGAAAUAUAAAUUUAUCUAUUUUAUUAUGUAUGUAGUUAUAUAAUGAGAUAUAUAAUAAAACUUAUAUUUAAGAACGAAGAAGAGAGUACGUACUGUACAAAUAGUCAAAUCUCACCAUUCAAAGCAUCAAAAGAUAACAAAGAUUACGUCGAGUUCUCUAAACCACCAAGCUACCAAUGCCUCCUGAGAGAGCCAGUUCAAAAUUCAUGAAAAUUCAUACCAUAUAAUGCAAUUUAGUUUAAAUGUCAUAAUAAUUUCAGCAAAUCUCUAUCUCUACUACUUAAGGUUACCGUUUCACCACUUGCUGCGUGCAUUCUUUCUAUAUAUAUUCUCCCUUCCUUUUAUGUCUUUUUCCUCCUACGUUGAUUUUCUCCCACUAGUUUUCUCUAAAGCAACUCAAUUAUCUCACGUCUUAUUAACUAUCAAAAUAAAAUAUCAUUACCAUUGAUAACUCAAUAAAUUGUUACAAACUAUUCCCUCCGUCUUACGGCACUUAUUUUGGGGCGGAGGUAGUAUUAUUUAAGAAUAAGACGAGAGGUGAAUUAGGAUCAUUGUAAACAAAAAAUAGAUAAGAUUUUAGUUCACCAAUGUAAUAAAAGACUUUCACUACUAGGAAAAAACUUAUAGACAAACGCUAACUAGUAGCGCAGGUUUUUACCCCUCGCUACUGAUACUUAGUAGUAGCACGAGUUUUUACCCCUCUACUACUAAGUUGAUAGUAGUAGCGCGGGUUUUUAACCCUCGCUACUACUAAGUGGUCUCAACUGUGCCCCCCUAGGACAUGCAAUAGUAGUAGCGCGGUGUAUAAACGAGCGCUACUACUAAGUUGAUAGUAGUAGUGCGGGUUUAAAACCCACGCUACUACCAGGUAGCCUUCAUUGUUGAAAGGACCACGAUGACGCCUCGAGGGGGGGGGGGAGGGGGGAGGGUGAAUAGGCUAUUUAAAAACUUGUUCGGAUUUGGCUUAAACCUAAUGCGGAAAUAAACUAAGAGGAUACUUUUCAAGCACAAAUCCUAAAUGCAAUAGGCACCNNNNNNNNNNNNNNNNNNNNNNNNNNNNNNNNNNNNNNNNNNNNNNNNNNNNNNNNNNNNNNNNNNNNNNNNNNNNNNNNNNNNNNNNNNNNNNNNNNNNNNNNNNNNNNNNNNNNNNNNNNNNNNNNNNNNNNNNNNNNNNNNNNNNNNNNNNNNNNNNNNNNNNNNNNNNNNNNNNNNNNNNNNNNNNNNNNNNNNNNNNNNNNNNNNNNNNNNNNNNNNNNNNNNNNNNNNNNNNNNNNNNNNNNNNNNNNNNNNNNNNNNNNNNNNNNNNNNNNNNNNNNNNNNNNNNNNNNNNNNNNNNNNNNNNNNNNNNNNNNNNNNNNNNNNNNNNNNNNNNNNNNNNNNNNNNNNNNNNNNNNNNNNNNNNNNNNNNNNNNNNNNNNNNNNNNNNNNNNNNNNNNNNNNNNNNNNNNNNNNNNNNNNNNNNNNNNNNNNNNNNNNCACACGAUAUAUCAAAAGCUGCAAGUGUGAACGUGUGGAUAUAGAGGGUAUGCUUGAACGAUUAAUCUUGUACAAAGAAAUAGCCAACACAAUAUAAUGAGCACAAACAAUAUGCAAUGUAUGUAUGCUCAAGUAANNNNNNNNNNNNNNNNNNNNNNNNNNNNNNNNNNNNNNNNNNNNNNNNNNNNNNNNNNNNNNNNNNNNNNNNNNNNNNNNNNNNNNNNNNNNNNNNNNNNNNNNNNNNNNNNNNNNNNNNNNNNNNNNNNNNNNNNNNNNNNNNNNNNNNNNNNNNNNNNNNNNNNNNNNNNNNNNNNNNNNNNNNNNNNNNNNNNNNNNNNNNNNNNNNNNNNNNNNNNNNNNNNNNNNNNNNNNNNNNNNNNNNNNNNNNNNNNNNNNNNNNNNNNNNNNNNNNNNNNNNNNNNNNNNNNNNNNNNNNNNNNNNNNNNNNNNNNNNNNNNNNNNNNNNNNNNNNNNNNNNNNNNNNNNNNNNNNNNNNNNNNNNNNNNNNNNNNNNNNNNNNNNNNNNNNNNNNNNNNNNNNNNNNNNNNNNNNNNNNNNNNNNNNNNNNNNNNNNNNNNNNNNNNNNNNNNNNNNNNNNNNNNNNCAAAUCUCAAAUAGCUUGGGUUGAGAGGAGGAGAGGGAGACGAUCUAUCUUUUGAUUGGAACAACUCUCAAAGGGGCUCACAAAUGCUCUUGGGAUCUAAGAUUUGGUGUGAGCAAAUGUGUGUGAGGUAGAAAUGUGUUCUUAUGAGGAUAUGGCUGUGUUGGGCACCCUCUCACGAAGUGGGAGGGGGGUAUUUAUAGUGGAGAAGGGAAAGUGACCGUUGGGGUCANNNNNNNNNNNNNNNNNNNNNNNNNNNNNNNNNNNNNNNNNNNNNNNNNNNNNNNNNNNNNNNNNNNNNNNNNNNNNNNNNNNNNNNNNNNNNNNNNNNNUUUUUUUGAGACUAGAGUCUACGACCAUGGAAGAAUUUUGAAUCUGCAAAAACUCAAUCUUCUUUGUAUUAUUUCACCGAUACUUGUUCUUUACAUUGCUUCAGUCGACGGUCACGUGUAGAAGCGCUUCAGGAGAUCUCCGUUCCAUGCUCGCGGCUCGUCCGUUUCCCUGUCGAUGUUGUAGAGUCGGUAUGCUCCAUUGUUCAGCACCUUGGGGAUGAUGAAGGGUCCUUCCCAGGCGGGAGCCAACUUGUGAGGUCUCUGCUGAUCCACUCGGAGCACCAGGUCGCCUGCUUGGAAUGUACGACUCCUGACGUGUCGCGCUUGAAAGCGCCGCAGAUCUUGUUGAUAAAUGGUUGAGCAAGUCAGUGCCAUCUCGCGCUCCUCCUCUAGAAGAUCCACUCCGUCUUGCCUUGCUUGUUCUGCUUCAGCUUCGGAGAAGAGUUCAACUCGUGGAGCGUUGUGAAGCAAGUCACUCGGAAGGACUGCCUCUGCUCCGUAAACGAGGAAGAACGGGGAUCGCCCUGUAGAUCUAUUUGGGGUUGUGCGGAGACCCCAAAGCACCGAAGGUAGCUCGGUGACCCAUGCGCCAGCGACAUGUCCCACCUCUCGCAGUAGUCGAGGCUUCAAACCAUCCAGAAUAAGUCCAUUCGCCCGCUCUGCUUGCCCGUUUGUUUGGGGAUGCGCCACAGAUGCAAAAUCCACUCGGAUACCUUGGCCUGUAUAGAAACCUUUGAAUCUGUCCGAGUCAAAGUUUGUUCCAUUGUCAGUGAUUAUGCUGUGAGGUACCCCAAAUCUGGAGAUGAUGUCCGUGACAAACUUGAUGGCCGUAAGGGCGUCGAAUUUUUUGAUGGGCUUGGCUUCGAUCCACUUUGUGAACUUGUCGACUGCCACCAACAGAUGUGUGAAUCCGCCUUGGCCUGUCCUGAAUGGACCGACUGUAUCUAAUCCCCAUACCGCAAAUGGCCAAACAAGAGGGGUUGUCUUCAAUGCAGAUGCUGGCUUGUGGGACUUGUUAGAGUAGAACUGAGAGCCUUCACAUCGGUCGACCAUAUCUUUCGCCAUUUCAUUUGCCUGCAGCCAGAAGAAGCUAGCCCUGAAUGCUUUGGCGACGAUUGCUCUUGAAGAGGCGUGAUGACCGCAGGUUCCCGAGUGAAUUUCCUCCAGGAUUAACUGUCCCUCCUCUGGGGAGAUGCAUCGUUGAAGGACGCCUGAAACGCUUUCCUUGUACAAAUGGCCAUCGAUGACAGUGAACGACUUUGACCUGCGGACGAUCUGUCUGGCUUGGACUUCGUCUUCUGGUAAUUCUUGCCUCAGGAUGUAUGCAAUGAUAGGGACAGUCCAAUCGGGGAUGACAGCAAGAAUCUCCAUGAUCAAAUCAACUAUAGCAGGUACGUCGACUUCAGUCGGAUCUGUCGAGCUCUUCGGUUGUACUAGUUCCUCUGUGAAAGGAUCUUCUUUAAUUGAGUGAAGGUGGAGGUGCUGGAGGCAUACGUCACUCGGGACUGGUCUCCGAGUGGAUCGAAGUUUUGCCAACUCAUCAGCUGCCUGGUUCUUCAGUCGCGGAACAUGGUGGAGUUCCAGACCUUCAAACUUUUUCUCGAGCUUCCUCACUGCAUUGCAGUACGUGGUCAUGGUGGGGUUCCUGACGUCCCACUCCUUCAUCACUUGAUUGACCACCAAAUCCGAAUCGCCAUAGACCAUCAGGCGACGGACGCCGAGUGAGAUGGCCAUGCGUAGUCCAUAAAGGAGAGCUUCAUACUCUGCCUCGUAGUUGGAGGAAUCAAAGUGUCUCUGCAGCACAUACUUGAGUUUGUCGCCCUUUGGCGAUAUGAUCACAACGCUAGCGCCGGAGCCAUUCAACAUCUUGGACCCAUCGAAGAACAUUGUCCAAUGAGCCGAGUAGAUGUGGGUCGGUUGGUGUUGUUCUACCCAUUCUGCUAUGAAGUCAGCCAGAGCUUGAGACUUUAUAGCUUUCUUGGCCUCGAACUUGAUGUCGCAGUACAACAUCUCCAUUGCCCAUUUCGCCACUCGGCCCGAUGCGUCCCAAUUGUGGAGGAUUUCCGACAACGGAGCAUCAGAAACGACAGACACCGAGUGGUCUUGGAAAUAAUGAGCUACCUUCUUCGUAGUCAUGUAAAUCCCGUAGAUAAGUUUCCGAUAGUGGGGAUACCUCUGCUUGGAAGGAGUUAGGACUUCGGAGACAUAAUACACUGGCCGCUGAACCUUGUAUGCUUUGCCUUCUUCUUCUCGUUCAACUAUGAGAACAGUGCUGACGACUUGAUUUGUAGCGGCGAUGUACAGAAGAAGGGGCUCUUUACUGAGCGGAGCAGUAAGAAACGGCUGGGUGGAAAGUAGGACUUUGAGGUCGUCGAAUGCGACUUGGGCUUCGUCUGUCCACUCGAAAGUAUCUGAUUUCUUCAUGAGUCGGUACAGAGGAAGCGCCUUCUCACCGAGUCGACUGAUAAACCUGCUCAAAGCUGCUAGGCAACCUGUGAGCCUUUGAACAUCGUGUAUUCUGACCGGCCGCUCCAUUCGAACGAUGGUCCCGAUCUUUUCGGGGUUGACAUCGAUCCCUCGUUCGGAAACGAAGAAACCGACUAACAUUCCGCUGGGAACACUGAAUGAACACUUGGCUGGGUUGAGCUUGAUAUCGUACCUACGAAGGUUGGCGAAUGUUUCUGCCAAGUCAGUCAGCAGGUCGGAACCUUCGCGUGUAUCAUCCAUAUACGCCUCCACAUUCCGACCGAUCUGGUCGAGGAGGCAUUUUUGGAUCAUGCGCAUAAAGGUUGCUCCUGCAUUCUUCAAACCAAAUGGCAUAGUGAUGUAGAAGAAGCACCCGAAUGGGGUGAUGAAGGCUGUUUUUAAUUCAUCGGGGCCAUACAGACGGAUCUGAUGAUAGCCCGAGUAGGCAUCAAGAAAUGACAAACGCUCGCAACCCGCAGUCGAAUCGACAAUUUGAUCGAUGCGGGGGAGCGGAAAAUGGUCUUUCGGGCAGACCUUGUUGAGAUGCUUGAAGUCGAUGCACAUUCGGAGCGACUUGUCCUUCUUGGGCACCAUGACAACAUUGGCAAGCCACUCGGAGUGGUGUACCUCGCGAAUGAAGUUGGCUGCCAAAAGCUUGGCCACCUCUUCUCCGAUUGCCUUCCUCUUGUGCGCGGCGGACUGACGCGGGCGUUCUCAGACAGGCCGAGCGGCAGGAUCCACAUGUAGUCGGUGCUCAGCCAACUCCCUGGGUACACCUGGCAUGUCAAAGGGAUUCCAUGCGAAGAUGUCCCAGUUCUCACGGAGGAAUUGGAUGAGCUCGGCUUCCUAUUUAGGAUCGAGAGUGGUGGAGAUGUUCGUCGGGGCAGCGGUGUCGUCCGUCGGGUGGAUGCUGACCUUCUUCGUCUCUCCCGCCGACUGGAAUGCGGACUCCGAAGAUGGCUUCUUCGAACGCAUCAGGUCAGCGGGGUCGACUGUCUUCUUGUACUCGUCAAGCUCGAGGACAGCCAUCUGCUGAUCGGCGAUCCUCUAUCCCUGCUGCAGACACUCCUCGGCCCGCUGCCGAUUGCCUGUGAUAGUGAUCACACCUUUCGGGCCUGGCAUCUUCAGCUUCAGGUACACGUAACAUGGACGGGCCAUGAAACGUGCAUACGCCGGGCGGCCCAGAAUCGCGUGGUACGCACUCUGGAAGUCCACCACCUCGAACGUCAGCUUUUCCUUGCGGAAGUUCUUGUCGGAGCCGAAGACAACGUCCAACGCGAUCUGGCCGAGUGACUUGGCCUUUCGUCCAGGGACGACUCCAUGGAACUGCAUGCUGCUCUCGCUGAGUUUGGACAUCGGAAUGCCCAUCCCCUUGAGAGUGUCGGCGUACAUGAUGUUCAAGCCACUGCCGCCGUCCAUGAGGACUUUGCGCAGUCGGACUCCUUCCACCACCGGGUCGACGACCAGAGCCUGCCUCCCUGGGGUGGGUACGUGUGCUGGAUGAUCGGACUGGUCAAAGGUGAUCACAGUCUGAGAUCAUUUGAGGAACGUGGGGUUGGUCGGCGUGGCCAUGUUCACCUCCCUGUUCACCAGCUUCAGUCGACUCUUGCUUUCAACGUCAGCAAAAAUCAUCAGUGUUGCAUGGACUUGGGGGAACGGAUCCUCCUUGUCCUCCUCAUCUUGUUCAUUGCCCUUUUCACUCGGUUGCCCUUCGCCGAACCCUUGGAUCAGGACGCGACAUUUCCGAGUGGUGUGCUUCGGAUAUAUGGCGUUGCCCUCUUCAUCCAUCUUCGUGUGGACCGGACAUGGCUGGUCCAGGAUGGGGUUGCUGAACUGCUUCUUCUUGGGGGUGAAUUGAGCCUUCCCCUUGCCUUUGAACUUGGCAUUGGUAACAGUUGCGGCUUCCGCCUGCUGAGUGGACGGAGCUUUCUGCUUCUGCUUCCGAGUGUUAUUCCCAUCUCCAUCGACGACUGCUUUGUGCUUGCCGCUACGGAUGCGGUCCUUUUCUUCGCCAUUUGCAUAGCAUGUCGCUAUCUCCAUCAUCUUGCUCAUGGAGAUGUCGCCGGUUCGACCGAACUUCAGGUACAGAUCUCUGUACGCAUGCCUGCCUUGAAGGCGCAGACUGCUUGGUGCUCUGUGACGUUCUCCACCGUGUGGUAGAGGGUCAUCCAACGCUGAAUGAAAUCGCGCAGGGGUUCAUUCUGCUUCUGGACAUAGUGCUGGAGCUCCACGAGGCGAGCAGGGCGCUUGCACGUUCCUUCGAAGGUCCUGAUGAAAACUCGGGCCAGAUGUGCCCAGCUGUAGAUGCUUGAGAGAGCCAACUGGUUCAGCCACGCUCGUGCCGAGCCGUCGAGCAUCAGAGGGAGGUGCUUCAUGGCGACGUGGUCGUCCCCUCCUCCGAUCUGGACUGCCACUCGGUAGUCGUCCAGCCACGUUUCUGGCUUGGACUCUCCUAUAAACUUGCUGAUCCCCGUCGCCAAUCGGAAGUUGGGAGGGAUGUCAGCCGACCGGAUGGCUCGACUGAAACACUCGGGACCAGAGACGAUGGUCCUGCUUCCACUCGGACGGUCCAUAUCGUGACCAUUGCGGUGGGCUCGGCCCCUGUUGACCCUCCGCUGGGCGAUAUGCCCUCUCGCGUCGGGCCUUGGAUCGUACGUGUCACCGACUGAACGCCGAUCAUCAUGAUGUCGGGGCCCGUAGGGCCCACCCCACGGAGGGGUGCGUGAACAGCGAUGAUCUUCGGGAUUUAUGGAACGGCUGCCUCCCUUGUGUCGCUGAUGAGAACCAGGGCUGUGAACUAAUCGAUGUGUGUUCGCAUGAACAGAACUAUUGUGGACCCUGUGGUGCGACUGGGAGACCACCGAAUUUUGUUGCUGCGCCGUGUGCAGCAGGGCACAGAUUUGCUCGAUCCCUCUGCCAGCCUCUGAAUCAGUCGACUGGAGAGAAUCUGCUAUCUUGGCGGCGGCAGCCAGGUUGAGGACGGGCGUGCGAUACACCUCCACGUUGCUCCGCCGAGUGUGCCGACUGGCAGAACGGCGGGGAUGACGGCGAGCGCCGGAUGUUUCGCCGACUUCGUGCUCGUUCCGGCCAGAUUGGCGGGGACUUUCAUGGGAGUUGGUCAUGUGCACUUCAGCUGCAGGUCCGUGACCCAAAUACUCGGAAGGAAACUCAGUCGGAACUGAGUCCGAGCGCUGGGACGGCGGUGCAACCACAACCGACUCUAGGACCGCCACUUGCGAGGACGCGUUCUGGUGCGCCUGGGCGUGUUGCACCCAACGUUGGAGCCGCGGACGGCGGGACCGCUUGUUACGGUGCGCGAUGACGGCCCAGGUCGACACCGGAGCCGAUUGCUGGAGCAGAAGAAUACCGCGGGCGCCGGCACGGAAGUGCGUAGCCCCGCGGCUGGGGAGUGCCUCGACGUCGCGAGGGGCAUCCCGGAGCCAUGCCGAAUCGUCGACGUUGAAGGAGAGAGCGCCGAACAGGAUCUCGUGACCCAUGCUCAAAUCUCCACCGGAUGACAUUAUGAAAAGAUGUAGUCGCAAACUCGCCGAAAGUUGCUUAGACGCCUGCCCCACGGUGGGCGCCAACUGUCGUGGGUGUAAGUCUGACAGUAGAUGUGUAGGGUACGAAAGGAUGGGCAGAGCCUUAGCUACGGCGAGGUUGUAUGAGUUAAGGCCCCUCUACGGUGGAGGUAAUAGGCCUAUGAUUCAGUGCUCUGGGAGCUUGUUGUCGAGUGGAAUAUGGAUUAUAGUGAAUUGCUAACCCCUGCACCAGUGGGGAAGGGUGGCUUAUAUAGAGUGCGCUGCCCUUCACAAUGGUUCGGUGCACAGGGUGGAGUAGUGGAGAAUAAAUGCCUACGUUACAAGUAACAUACGUCUUAAAUGCUAAUAAAGGCAUAUGGAAACGUAUGACCGUUUUCGUCCACGGGGGUUACGAUGCACAGAGUGGAAUCCAGUCGGUUAGUUUGAUACACUCCGAAAGCUCAUCUCCGGCUGGGUGCUGGAGGAUUUGUCACCGACUGGAUGAUGGGAAGUCCUUAAUUGAGUGGGAACUGACUAAGGGCCUUAUCCCUUAUGAAGGGUAGUCCUUGGGUAGGACUUAUAGGGCAGGCCUAUGACCCUACCCUAGGACUAUAACCCCAUCAACCAUCAACGGAGAUGUUUGGGAAGAAGGUCCAUAUCAUAUUCCCAAGUUUGUUCCUCAAGAGGAGAAAUAUGAUCCUACUACUCCCAAGGUAAUAAGCUCACAAGAUGUCCUUCUACCACAAGACCACAAGGACAAGGGAAAGCUUCAAGAGGACAUUGACUCAUUUGAAUAAGAGCCCCAAGCCAAGGUUGAGUGGGUUCCCAAGGACACUUCUAGUACUACCUCGUCUAGUGCUACCACAACUCCAAGGAUUCCCAUCAAAGUGAUGUGGGUCCCCAAGAGGAAGAACUAGAAAGUUCUUGAGGGGUGACUUUGCCAAUGAAUUUCACUCCCAUUCAUUUUGGCAAGAACUAUGUGCAAUCAACCUCAACGACAUGCAUUGGUUCAAGGAGUCACACAUUCCCUCAAAGGUGAUCAAGGGACAAGGUAAUCAAUGAAUCUUUGGACAUCACUUCCCAUGUACAUAGGUAUCUUUGUGUUUGUUCCUUUUGCUUUGGGACUAACCCAUGUAGGUGAGAAGAGUAAGAAACAACAAUGAUUGCUCCCAACUCGAGAUGAUCUUCAUCAACAUUUAGAAUCGACCACUACUUCACCUACUUGAAGUCUUCUACGACAAAACCCAAGGUUAGUUUGUCCCUCUUAGGGGGGAUGUGAUAUCAAGGGGGAGCUUCACUCUAAAUCUUGAGUAUAAGCAUCUCCUAAAGAUAUGAACACAUUAAUGCUUUAUGUAAAAGUGGUAACCCCACUUGUGCUUAAACGAUGAGUAUGACCUAUGAUCAAGUAUUCUUACUUGACUCCUCAGUCAGUAUAUUCAUAUAUAGAUGACUUCGUCAUCGCCAAAGUGCUUGAUAGAUGCUAGGAUGUUUGUGCAUGUUCAUCAUGGUUUCAUUUGAAAUCUUAUUGUGUGAGGAUGUUAGUAUGCAUAUCCUUUCUCAUUCGAGGACAUCCAAUUGUUGCUAUUUGGCUUAUGAUUUAUCUUUUGCCAAUUGGAUAGACAAGAAUGCCUAGGACCCUUCUUUAGCUAUCUAGGCUUUCUCUUCUCAAGUUCUAUUCAUGCUUCAUCACAAAACUUGAACAAGCACUUCUCGAUCCCUCUGUGUGAAUGAGCACUCGGAGUUCCGUAUCGACAAACGCUGCAUUCCAAAACCUCUUUGUGAAUCUCAGUGCAACCAACCCCACAAUAUCGGUUCCACCGAAUAACCAAAGCUGAUCUAGGUUUUCAAUCUCGGUACCAUCGAUACCACCAUCUCGGCUUCACCGAGUUUCCAUGUCAACUGACAACAUAGGAACUCGGUGGCACCAGAACCUUAGUAUCAGUGACAUCGACAGUGAUGGGUAUAUAUCCUGGCAGACCCGACGUUUCGAAAUUUAAUCCUCAAACGUUUUGUUCCCAACUCCAAGAAGCCGCACAAGGACCCUUGGUUAUCGCCUUUGCAUCCCUGAGAGACUCUGCCGUUGGUAAUCGCCGCCGACGAUUGAAUCAUCGCCGCCGUCGUUGCCUAGCGAGUUCAUCACCGACUUAGUUUAUGAAUCCGAACCCUCAUGUGCUCCUUUAUCUGAUCCACGCGCAUUAGGGCACCCCAUCCACAAUCAACAGUUUCUAAUCUUCCUAUUCCACAAGAAAUCUCCAUAGAUUAGAGAAUGAAGGAAAAUUGGAUCCGAUCUCCCACAACAUGUAUCUCAGUGAGACCAAGUUGGUAAGAUCGGUUCCAUCGAUUUUUGUUUUAGGGUUUCUAAGAACCACUCUAGUGAGACCAAGUAGCUCUUUUCGAUUACACUGAAAAGACUACCCAAGUUUCUGUUAUGCAAGUGGUCAGUCUCGGUGACUCCUUAAAACCCAACCCGGUUCUACCGAUAUUCAUUCUGAAGUAGACCAUACACUAAGUUUUUGAAUUCAAAUUUUGAAAAAUUAUGUGUUUUGUGAUGCUCAACCCUUGUGAUCUUCUAUAUCUACUUCACAUGGUUGCUUGUCUGUUGAUUUGCUGGUGUGUUUGUCUGUUUUAUUUCAAAGAUGUCAGGUUGUCAGGACAGCCAGAACAACUUCACUCAAGAUAGUGUUGAGAUGGAUUCAUGCACUAGUUCUGAGAGGUCCCCUUUUGAUCCAGGCACCCCCAUCUCCCAUGGUUUGCCCAAGGCUGCCACAAGGCCCAGAAGGAAACUGAAUUCUGAUGAAGAAGAUUCAGACUUUGUUCCUGUUGAGUCUGACGUCCAAAAGCAGAAAGAGAAGCCUGUUGUCAAGAGAGCUGUUAGGAAGGUGUACUCUAAACCUUCUGACAUGAGAGCUGCAGAGUUUGCAAGGCAAGGGAUGACACUUACCCUUGAGAAACCUCCUAAGAAGACAGGUGUGAAGAGAGUCAGGAAGAGGAUUAUUCAUGUCAUUGGUAGACAAACUUCCAUGUAUGAAGACUGAGGAGAAACUGUUGCCGCUGAGGAGGAGGAAGUACCAUCUAAUGCGCCUCCUACAAAGAAGAAAAAGAAGCUUAUGGCAGGUACUAUGAAGCCUUCUGCUCGAAAGCCUUUAGAUCCAAAGAAGCCCGUAGCUCCCAAGAUGACCACAAAGGACAUACCCCCAGCUGCUAAAGAGAAACGCACUGCUUCCAGAGACUUUGUUGCAAAGGAAGAUGUUGAGAAUGCACCUAUUCUCAUGAAGUUAAGACCUCAUUUUCCAUUUCACAAUGAGUUUCAUCCAAUAGCUGAAGACAUGAAGAAGAGAAGAGAUGCCAAGCUAAAGAAGUGGAGAGCUAUUGAUCCUUAUGCUGUGAGGAGAAGGACUGCAGCUGAUCCCAGGUUUCAUACAAGAGAACAACAAGACUUCUAUGAGACAGUUCUGUAUGACAAAUGUCCAGCAGUUAGUGACAUGAGAUAUGUCGACUCGAAUUAUAUCAAAGCCAAUGAAUAUUUCUUUCCCCAUGUGAGAGAGAACUUCAAUCUUGUUGACAUUGAAGAUUUGUUGGUAGAGAGAUAACUGCAUGGAAUGAUGAAAUGAUUAUGCAAUUCUAUUCAAUAGUUCAUUUCUAUUCAGAUGGCACAAUUUUCUGGAUGACUGAUGACCAUAGAUAUGAAGCCACAAUUGAAUAAUGGGCUACUAUCAUUGCUGCUCCAAAGUCACGAGUAGAGGACUUGGAUGUGUACUCAGAACCUAAGAAGAAUCACAACUCUAUGGCCAAUAUGUACAAGCGAGUGCCAAAUGACGUCCUACCAUCUCACAAGCUUGGGUCUAUCUAUUCCUUGCAAGCUGGGAUAACCUCUACCAACACUAUCUUCAGGCAUACCCUGAUACCCAAAUCAGGUGAUGACAAAAUGAUUAGAGGCUAUUCCAUCAAUAUGCUACAUCAUUUAGACACCGACGCUCGCUUCAAAGUCAUUGAUUAGAUUGCUAAGACUAUGCGGAUAUGCACCAUACAUUCAUAUGCUCAUCAAUGCCGAGAUUGGCAAGCAUGCAUAUCAGCUUGAUCGUCCUCAUUUUCCACUUCAGCCAGAGUUCAAGGACAAUUAAGAUGUGAUGGAUGACACUCAUCCAAGCUCAGCGACAUCUAGAGAGGCUACAGAGGCAGCUGCUGCAGAGGCCGCUAAGAAUGCUCCAGCUCCACCACUAAAGCUUAAAACUAGAGAGGAACAUAUGUCGUUCUUGGUCAGCAUCAUUCGAGGGAUGGAGAAGAAUAUUUUUGAGAUUCUGCUAAACCAAAAGAGCCAAGAGAGGAUCGUGGAAACAAAGUUUCAUGACCUGGAUCUGAAGGUUAAGGAGUUGACUACUAUAGUCAAGCAACUUCAGCAUGAAGUUGACUCAGUGCAGAUUCCACGCUCAAAUGAUGAAGAUGAUGAUGAUGAUGAUGAUUCACCUCGUCGUACUACCAAACGUUUCUCGACGCAGACCAGGUCAGCAGCUGUGCCAGUACCAGAAGAUAGACCGUCUUCAUCACCUGAAGCUUCAACUCCUGCUCUAUCACCUCUAGUUUCUACACCUCCAGCUCCUGCUCCAACGAUGUCAUCCAAAGCCUUCAUUGAUGCUCUUUUGUCUACUCCAACAUCUGCUACCGGAGGAGAUCAUGCCCGGAGAGAAGCUUAGGUUAGAUCUUUGAACGUUUUGGUACUUGUUGCCAAAGGGGGGAGAAGUGUAUAGAUCAAUAGGGCUUCGGGAGAGGGAGAGCUUUUGACUUUAUAUGCUCUCAUUUUCAAAACUUUAUUUGCUCUCUUGGAUGACAUUAUCUUCUUAGAUGUGUGUUUGAUCAUAUGCUUUGAUUGUUUAGUGCUACCAUGUUAUUACCUCUGAGCUAUCCACAUCAUGAUCAUUCACUUGUUUUUGGUGCUAUGUGCAUUGCUGUUCAUUCUUAUCUUUUAUGCACACCACCAAGUUGUAUGUGACAUGGAAGAGUAACCCAUAUUCCUAAUCGAUCGUGCAUUUGCAUUCAAAUGCAAAUUUAAAAAUAAUGCACAAAUUUAGGGGGGAGCUCUUGUUUUUCACAUACCUCUCAAAGCGUCGAUGCUAAUCAUUGAUUAUAUCUUUUGACGAAGCUUUGAUCUAUUUGUUGUCAUCAAUUACAAAAAGGGGGAGAUUCAAAGCACAAUUGCUCCCUAAGGUGGUUUUGGUAAUUAACCACAACACAUGCAUCAUUGGACUAAUGCGUAUAUUCAAGUAUAUUUCAGGAAACUUCAAAGUAGCUUUGUGUGGCACCCCGAUUCAACGAAUCGGAUUACCAGUGUUUCCAACCCAGAGAUCAAGUCUUCUGGAAACACUCAACAACUUGGAACAGAACUGAACUGACUUUAUUGAUAGAAUAAGAUGACAGGUACAUAUCUUACAAUGAUAGCGAGGCGAAAGGCACCCUGGGUGCUGCAACAGUAUCUACAUUAUUUAUGAGGCAUAGUGGGGCCUCGAAACUACUAAGUACUUCUACAGCGUAGCGGAACAUAGCGGCAACUCCAUACACACGGACACUUCUGUGGACACUCCCUACUACGCAUUAUCAGGACCACCGUCCUCGGCUUCUCCUGCAUCUGGCAGGAUAUGGUUGGUGAGUACUUGGAAUGUACUCGCAAGCUCAUAAUAACCAAGUAAUGCAGCAAACAAUAGCAUGGCAACACAUUAGGAAUAAUAUCACUUGGCUUUAUAAUAUCCACUUACUCAUGUCCGGGGUUGUCUCACAACCACCGGAAUGCCUAUCAAGCAUCUCCAUUCAACUGAAGGGUUCCUCCAUCAUUACUAACAUCCACAUGCUUGACCAUCUACUGAGGUCUGGUCGGGCUAUCCAAUACCGUGGACUCAGCUAUUCGAAUAGAUUUUACACUCUACAGAGGUUGCACACUUUACCCACACUAUGGAGUACUGACCUCGUGAUCCCAUUCGGGUGGACCGACAUUACUCCAAUGAAACUUUCCUAUCCUGUGACUCUCUCAUUGUAUCCCCGGCAACCACUCCCUUCCGGAGUCUUGACCUGGGUGGCCCUGUGUCCUCAUGACACCUGCCACCGUCGUGGCCAAACAAAACUGUCCCAACCGGGGACGGGCCCAACUCAACUUAACUGGGCUCACAGGGUUAUCACCGCCUACCGGGCCAAGGUAGCACGCAUGCAUAACCCUCCCUCUUUGGGGAUAUCGGUGAAAGAUCACGUUGACAAUCCAAGUCACGGCCUUCCCAUACCGGCAAGAUGUGGUUGUACGAUUAUGCACGGACAGGUGACUCAUGAUCAACCACUAAGCCAUGGUAACCAUAGUGAUUUAUAACAGUAAGCACAUAUUCCUAUAUGACUGUUUAUUAGAUGAUUAUUUCCUAACAAGUCAAGUAAGUAAAAUGCAUGAAGAUGUGAGUUAUGCUAUGCAAAACUACAUCACAUGGAUAUGAUGGCUUUCGUUGAUCAGUGGGGUUGUUCAAACACUCCUGGUCUUCAAAGUUUCCCUCUGAAAAUAUGUUUGAAGUAGCAAAACUAAAGAAAAGUCAUUUAAUACCUUUUUUAUUCAUUAGAAAUUCUAUGUGUGUGGGAAAAAUACUAAAAUUUACCAGAUUGUAUAGAAACUCAAUACCAAGUCAAUGCAAAAAGAAUCAAGUGAUUUGGACUUGUAAAUAAAAGGAUUUAAAUGGUCAAAGUUUCUAUUUGAAUCUGGACUUAAUAAAAGAAAAGAUAUUCUGGCAGGGGGCCAGGUCGAAGGUGUAAAGUGGAGGGGCGCCUCCACUUACCGCUUCGGCCGCUGGCCAUAGCCGCUGGCAGGUGGGGCCUGCCACGAGAACAGAGAGGGGGAGGAGGGGAAAAGAGGCGAGGCGGCCUUCCGACGACGGUCGCCGGCGAGUGAGACGGUGGCGACGCCUGGGAUCGGGCGGAAUGGAACGGGCGGUCGAUGACAAGCACACACGUACCCGCAGCUUGGCGAGAGGUGGACAGACGACGUCAUCCCCUUCUUCUCUGGCGGUGGCGGCUUCGGGUGGUCGUCGGAGACGAGGAUUCCGGCAGGGAAAAGCUUGGGCAAGGGGUCGAGAAGCACCAGGGGAACUUCCCGAACUCGACGGUGGGGUUGAUUAGGCUUUGGAGGAUGGGGUUGGUGCUGUCGACGGUGAGGCUGCAGGCAGCGGAGUUACGGCGAUGUUCAAGGCCAGAGGGCCUCUAGGCCUUGGCUCGCUCUUCGGGAGGUCAAUAGGGAGCAACAGGAGGGAUGUUGAGAGCUCGAAGGGGUCGCGCACUCCUUUAAAUAGGCCGGCGACGAGCUCGGCGAUCUCUCCCGAAGCGGCGAGGAUAAGCUCAACCACAGUCGUCGGAGGGUUGAGGUGGUCGUCGCGGAGUGCGCUGAGGUGACGGAGGAGAGCAGGGAGGCGAUGGGAUGGCUCCUGGCCAUUAAGGGCUCGCGGAUGAGAACAGUGGCCGGAGCCGUCAGUUCGGUCCUGUGGCUUAGCUUGGCCAGGAGCGGUGGCGGCAUUCUUCGGCGACCUAGCACUUUCAAGAGGUGCCACACGGCUGCCAGGGACCUCGUCGGUGCUCAGGACAAGGAUGGGGCAACGAAUGAUGGCUCGAGGCAGCUCGGCUGUCACUGGAGUUGCGCAGAGCACGCUCUAUGGCAUGCAAGCACCGUGAUCACCAUGGUUGUGGCCAACCUCAUGUCACGCAGGCCUAGAGACCUUGUCCAUUGCGCCGACCAGCCUCUCUUUAGUCACCAUCCACUGCUUGAUUGAUCAGUCACGCUCUCCUGCGACUUGGAACAUCAACAAUAGUUUCUGUCUACAGACUUUGGGUGGUUUUAGAGCUCAACUGGGUUGGGGUUCGAGUAAGAUAGGAUGUCUGGGCGGAUCAACAUAGAAAAGACUCCAAGCUGGCAAAGUUUGGCUAAGUUUGAAGAUCAAAUGAAUAUAGUUCCUUUGAAAACCAUCUUUCUGGUCCAGAACACAAAUGAGCUCCUAGCACUCAAUUGCAAGCUUUGCUAUAAGUGAAACUUGGUGGGGAAGUGUCAUUUGGUAGUGCACACAUGCCCAAAAAUUUGUAGCUCCAUUGUGCACUCCUAGCUAGCACUUCCUUCACAAGGGUUCAGUUUUAGCACAAACUUAGCAGAGUUUUCCUGCUCAAAAUUUGUAUUGGACCAUUGGAUGUUUUUACAUAUCGGAACCAUUGGAUGUUUUUACAUAUCGGAACUAUAUAUAUUUUUACAUAUCGGAACUAUAUUUUUGAAUAUUUUGAAAUCAUAUGGUGUUGAGAAGAUGUUGUAAAAGUUUUGGCUCUUAAAGCUCAUCCAACCUAUAGGUUGCUUCACAACCCAUAGUGAUGCCAUAAUUCCCAAAAAUAGAAAGAGAAUUAUUUGGAGGAAUAAAAUAUUGCAAAUAAAUCUCAGAAAGCUUUUGGUAAGAAGCAAAUUGUAAUGGAGUCAAUCUUUCUACGAGAAAAUUGACCGGGCUCAAGAUUCAUGACUAUCAUGUAUGGAUUGAGCGGUUAAUGCCGGUCAUGGUACGAAGCUAUGUCCCCAAGCGUGUCUAGAGAAUGCUUGCAGAGGUAAGACAUUUCUUUCGCAUGCUCUAUGCUAAAGAAGUAUUCCCAAUGUGAUUAGACAAUUGUAUAAGAAGACACCUAUCAUGGGUAUAAGUCUGACAGUAGAUGAAUAGGGUACGAAAGGAUGGGCAGAGCCUUAGCUACGCCGAGGUUGUAUGAGUUCAUGCCCCUCUACGGUGGAGGUAAAAGCCCUACGUCUCAGUGCUCUUGGGAGCUUGAUGUCGAGUGGAAUAUGGUAAACAGUGAAUUGCCAACCCCUGCACCAGUGGGGAAGGGCGACUUAUAUAGAGUGCGCUGCCCUUCACAACGGUUCGGUGCACAGGGCUGGAGCAGUGGCGAUUAAAUAUCUACAUUACAGGUAACGUAUGCCUUAAAUGCUAAUAAAGGUACAUGAAAACGUAUGACCGUUGCCCUCCAGGGGGGUUACGAUGUACAGAGUGGAAUCCAGUCGGUAAGUUUGAUACGCUCUGAAUGCUCAUCUCCGACUGGAUGAUGGAGGAAUCGUCACCGACUGGAUGAUGGGAAGUCCUUAAUUCAGUCGGAACUGACUAAGGGCCUUGUCCCUUAUGAAGGGUAGUCCUUGGGUAGGACCUAUAGGGCAGGCCUAUGACCCUACCCUAGGACUAUAACCCCAUAAACACCAAAGUUGAUAUCGAAGCUAGAGAAGAUUCUUCUGCCCGACUUCUUUACUCGGAUGACAAAUCUCAUUUUGCACCUCGCGAAAGAGGUAUUGUUUUGGGGCCCGGUGCGGAAUUGUUGGCAGUACGGUCCCAAUAUAUAGAACAAGCAUCUCUGAAACAAAUGUGGAAACAAAGCUAAGAUUGAAGCUUCCAUAGCCGAGGCAGUUUACCUUGAGGAGGUGUCAGACCUCAAGGCAUCGUACUAUCCAUACCACGUUCCCACUCUACAUAAUAAGCUGUGUCGACACAAUACGGAAGAGCCUAUGUAUAAACCCAAGUUUUAUUUAUUCAACGGGAAAGGUGCCAAGGCUGGGGGCUCGAAAUCUUAUAACCUGCCAGAACAAGAGUGGGAGGACAUCAUGUUCCAUGUCUUGCACAACAUCAACGAAGUUGAGGAUGAGUGGAUGAGGUAAUACCACUACACCAUUAAUACCUUUAUUUCUUGCACAAUAUCAUAUUCUAUGUUCACUUAGUCUCGACCUAAACACCACUUUUCUUCUUUUAGUCAAUUCAUUGAUGAGGAGUGGACGGUAAUGAUUCCUCCUAGUGAGGCGGAGGCACUUACUCUUCUAUGACAUGGGAACCCUGGAAGGAAACUUUUGUUGCUUGGUUCAUGGCGAAAGUAAUUUUUCACAUUCCCCUAUUAAAUACCUAGUUGAACAUUUAUUAGUUAGCCAAACUAAUGCACCCAACAAUUUCAAUUAAAUAAUACCCAACAUACGCCUUCUGUUGGUUUCGUCGAAGUUAAACAAUCAAUUGUCUAUGCCGGAGCCGAUCUCUUUAUUGCGGCUACCCAAGUCACACGAGUUUAUUAUCUGCCUUACCCAUGCCAGGAAUAGUACCUAAAGGGUUGGGAAGUUGUGUUCCAGGUGUCGCCACAUGGUAAGCUACCGGACUCGAACGAUGACGAUUAUUACAACAUUAACCCCAUGACAUACGAGGGAGUGUUCUUUUAAGAGCAACCCCAUGAUGAUGGUGAUGUGGUCAGAAGCGAUGACGCUGAUGCCUUUGAUGAUGAUGAUGAGGUGUGGAUCCAAACGAUGACGAUACACAUAAUGAUGGUGAGGCCAUUGUUAAUGAAACAACAUAAUUAUGCUAGAAAAGUUAAAUGAAGACACUGACAACGAGGAAGAGCCUCCACCUCCAUCCGACAAUGAAGAUGAUAUGUGUGAUAGUGAUGAUUAGACCGGUCGAGCUAUUGGUUACAACAUUGACGAUUCGUAUGGGUUCUAGCACAUGUACGUUUCUAUGUUUUUUCUAUUAAUGUCUUUUUUCGAUGCAACCAUACUUAUUUAUUAAUGUCUUUUUUCUAUGGUCUUUUCUUCGUUAUUAGUAUACUAAUUGUUUAUUCUCUUUUCAAUGGAGGUUUUCUAAGCAUGGGAAAGGGCAAGGCCGAUGGCACGGGUUUACUAGCCAAACUCACCUCGAUGUAUGGACCCCGCAUGGUUCCAUCCCGACUACUUGAGGAUAACUCCUUACAGGGAGGUUGAGGGAGAGGUGCCCCUAGAGGUGGAGGUUGUGCAGGGAGAGCCCCUAGAGGAAGGCAGGGCCGGGCCUAGAAACAACGCCCCCUCACCAACUUAGGUAUGUCGUUUACAAGGCCCUCCUCUAGUGAGGUACCCUCUACCGAGGAGGAGGAGGUUCACGAGGAGGUUGAGGAGGAGGAGGAGGUUCGCGAGGAGGUUGAGGAGGAGGAGGAGGUUCACGAGGAGGUUGAGGAGGAGGAGGAGUUUGGGGAGGGGUGGAGGAGGAGUUUGGUGGUGGCAGGUAGGGGGUUGGCAACAACAAGGGGUGGCUACGUGGUGCUGCAAACCUCCCCCCGAUCUUGCUACCGAGGAGCAGAAGUGGCCCAUUGAGCGAGCGGGGAAAGAGUAAGUGCCCCUUAAGCAUAUUUUAAUUCUUUUGCUUGGAAACAUGCUCAUAUUUUCUAUCUUUUCUAGGGGCUGGACAGUUCCUGAAAAUGUUCGUGUUCCAAACGGUAUCAUCACUAUCUUGAUGAAGGAAUAUUGGUCGGGGUUGUUCACUUCGGACAAAGACAAGCACCCGGAGCACCGGGUUUUGGCCACGAACUGGGACCACUACGAAGCGGCUCCCCACGUGGAAUUUGUUACACAUGCUAAGGCCGUGAUAACAAAUGUUUUGGUAAGUCCUCUUCAAAAGCAUGAGUCUUGAGUUUCAUUCAUAGUUUAUCAUCGAAUGGUUUAUCUCAUGGCUUCUUCCACUCUGGUUGUAUGACUAACUGUAGAAAUACUAUCCAGAUAUUGAGGAGAAAAAGCCCAUUGCCGACAAGUUGUUCCUGAGAGUUGCAAGGAAGGAGGCCUGCCAGAUGCAGUAAGAGGUGUGCUGGGUGGCCAUCUCGCAAUUUUAUUAUGACUAUCGUGACAUGAAGAUGCCCAAGGAAUAUGGGCGGAAGGAGCAUCUUACCUUGACUAGGGAGAAGUACCUGCUGUAAGUAUAACCGACUUUUCAUUCCAACAUUUGUGGUAAAUUUCAUUGUUUCGUGUCGACAUGCCAUUAUGCUUUCAUUAUGUAAGUGUCAGGAACGACACCUAUGGAAACUCGAGGAGUACCUUGAUCGUCCGGCGGGGAGAGAGAGGUACAACAUCGAGAGCGGAGCUAACGAUCAACACCGGCAAGGUCUUUCACCCAGGUUCGGACCGCUUGGCGCGUAAAACCCUACUCCUUCUUAGUUUGUAUUAUGUGCUUACUGUAGGAUGACUUGCUACAGUAACUUAGUGGGUGAUUAGGAAGUCUCCAAUCCCACAAGGGUCCAACCCUUAAGAAUGAGCCUUGGGUCUCCUUUUAUAGGUAAAGGGGUCACCAACAGUGUGCUCACGGGGUGAAUAGUGAACAGUAUUCACCGCUGUACUUCUUCGGUGGCGUCAGGGACAGGAAAUGCCUUGUUUGACCCCUGGCCUGCCACAAGGUGGUCGCGACACGUAUCCAGGUGAAUCGACACCUGGGUCUUGUGCUGGCAAACGAGGGAUGUGCUGGAGCGGUCGGAUUGUGGUAGAAACGGGGGAGGACACCUGGAGAGUGAAGGGGGCUUGCUUGCCUGGAGCCUCUGUCGGAUGACUUGGUCACCUUCCUCGCAAGGAGGGCUUGCCAAGGGCUUGGACACUUUCCCAGCAAGGAGGGCUUGUCGGGGGCCUCGCCAGUCUGUGCGAGCCUUCCCGGCAAGGGAGGCUUGCCGAGGUCUUGCUAAUCUUCGGGGGUCUUCCCGACAAAGUGGGCUUGCCGGGGACUUGGGGAUCUUCUCGGCAAGGAGGUCUUGCCGGGGACUUGCAUCUGGAGCCCUUGUACUCCACGCCCCGCGAAGAGAGGGAAGGUCGUGGCCUUGGUGGGUCUUGGAUUGCCUUGCUGCUGUUCUUCCCGGUGCACUACCGUCAUGGGCGUUGCUGAUGCCCGUGCAUAAGUCUAGGGCACAAGGGACCCCAGUCUCUAGUGCACCGAUAGGAGCCCCCGGGCCUGGGCCACGCACGCACGCGAAGUGUUGGUGGGCCAGGCCCAAAGUAGUGCACGUGCUUCUUUGGAAGGGGGACUCUGUAGCUUCAGAGCUGUUGUAGACGACCCUUCCCCACGCUGCGCAUUGAAAGCUCGAAGUGGGGAGGCAUGCGCACAGUGGCCAAGGUGUCCACGCGCGCGCUGAGCUAUUGGUUGGGAACGCAAGUGUCGACCGGUGCGCCUACCUUUCUUCUCAUAAGAAAGGAAAACAAAGCCACACAAGCCUUUCAUUCCUUCCCAGUUCUUUUCAAGCUCGAAAACGUCGCCCCCUCCUUUCUCCCGCUAAAGUUCCCUCCCCACCUCCACCUUUGCCCCCGAGGCCGCGCUUUGGACGGCCACAGCUUCCGCCGUUGCCAUGGCGCCUAAGGGAACAGAAGGCAAGAAGGGGAAACCUGUCAUCACAGAGAAGGAGUUGGCGAAGAUGCGGAAGGAGCUCGCCUAUUUUCCCCCGGGGCCCGACGCGUUCUUCCUGAAGGAGCACUAUCAGCAAAUGUGGGCGGCCAAGAGGAAGGCGCAUCCGGCCACUCAAGUGACCCCGGAGAAGUUGGCGGUGCUCCAGAAAAGUAUCCCUUCUUCGUCGAUUUCUUUAUUGCGAGCUCUGUCUGCCCUUCUCCGAGUUCUUCAUUGACAUCAUGAACACCUAGGGCUUCCACCUUCUGGAUUUCACGCCGAAUGUGGGGACAUGCAUGUCUAUAUUAGCGCAUCUCUCCGAGAAUUUUGUCGGGAUUACCCCCAACACCGCCCUCUUCCGCCACUAUUUCAUUCCCUGCAUUCAGGGAGGGGAUGCUCUUUCGGGCUCCAUCACUUGGAUCCCGUGGAUCGGAUGCAAGGAGAUGUAUCUGGAUGGGGCCCUUCGGGAGAAGUGGGAAGAAUGGCGUGGGAGGUGGUGGUGGAUCCUCGAGGAGAAGUAUCUGCCCUUCUGCGAGCCCAGGACCACCAAGAUCGACUCCCACGACAAGCAUGGGAGUGACCUCGACCUCGAUCAUAUGAAACUGACUGUCCCUAUCAACAGGAUCCUGCGUCUCAGGGACGCAGGGCUAACGAUAGAGAUGGUGGGUGCCCACUUUAUCCGCACGCACAUCGCCCCCCUGCAGAAUAGGGGAGGAAGGCUAGCCUCAGCCUUUGUGAACGCGCGAACAUCCUACGACUGUGGACUGGUUACAACAACAAUCUGAUGGUGAUGGGGCAUGCCUUCAUUUGCCAGAAGCUGUUCAAGUCGGACAUGAGGCCUCGGCUACCGCAUGGUGUCGUACCCUUGUGCAACAAUUCUGCCCUGAGUUACUCAUGGCAAGGAUGCCAGAGUGUAAUGCUCAUGGCGUGGUUGCGACUUGGAUCGAGCCAGGGAGGAGGAUGUCUUGUGCUUCUUUGACUUCUUGUCGGAGAAUCCCAUUAGAGAAGACACCGGCCUCGUCCGGGAGUACACCGACGAGGAGGUGGCGUAAAUUGCCAGCCGGGCCGAGGAGCAGGCCCUUGCCGAGACGGUAGGGAGCGUCGGCUUCUAUGACGAGGGGGCGCCCGAUGAGGAGGCGCAACAGGACAAGCAGCUCGCCGGGGAGCCCAUCAGCUCGGUGACCGGGGGCCCUUCAAAGGGACGGGCGCCCGACGCAGAGGAGGAGGAGGAGGAAGAGGAUGAGUCUCUAGCUCGCCGAAGGUCCAGGCGAGUGCUUCGACACGCCGACUCCAACAUCCCCGUCUGGCAAAAUCCACCCGCUGUGCCCGGCAAGCGUCCCGGAUCCGCGUCUCCUCGGGCGGAUGCCGAGGAGGACGUGGAUUUUGAUUUGUCUGCCUUCAGCUCAGGGGAGGAGGAGGAAUAGGUGUUUGACUUUUACCCCCUUCGAACCCCUCACCUUGUGUUCUUACUCAUCAAGUGUCGGUUCUUGUUCUCAGGGACACGGAGAUGUUGUCCCAGAGGAUGGUGAAGAAGGCCAAGGUGUCGGCGGGCGGUGGUCCUUCGACGAGCGCCUCAGAGGCGCCACCGGCAGCUUCCACCGCUAUGAUGUCGAGCCCCCGGGAGAGCCCCCAGCGGGAGUCGCCAAGGCCUGUGACGCCCGAGGACGAGCCCCCGACAACUGAUGUUGUCGGGGAGGGGACAACUGCCCCUCACCAGCUAAACGAGGGUGAGUGCCCUGGCAAGGGACGUCUAUAAGUUUCUCCACCCGUCUUCUUUUCUUUAUCUUGUACCACAGGCUUCUCCUCGGUGGAAGAGAUGAAUGUCGACUUCAUCAUCGAGGAGACUGCGGGGACGUGGCCGCUGAGGACGAUGAGGUUGCCGGGAGCGAGUCUGCUGCCGAGGCGCGGGAUCGGGCCACCCGGGAACCAAUAGAGGAGUCCACCGAGGUUCCCGGGGCGUGCAUCGGUGAUCCUCCUACCGUUGAAGGUUUGGGGGCAGCACUGGAUGAGGAUCCCCAUUUUAUCGACGAGAAUGCUGGUGGCGACCAGCUUCCCACGCCAGGGCCUCCGCCAGCAAGUGAGGAUGCUGGUAGAGAGUCGGUACAUCAAUCCGCCAGGGUGUGCCGUACCAGGAUAGCCUUCGAAGGGGAGAGCUUUGGCGCCGAAGUCUCCACCAGUGCCGGGCUUGAGACCGUGGAUGGUUCGGGGGCCUACGGCAGGAAGCUCAGCGAAGAGCAACUCUUCUAGUCCAUGAGGGACAACGUCAGCCAGCUCCAGGUCAUUUACCAGGCCCAGAAGGAGAAAUUGGACUCCCGAAUGACGUACGUCGAGGCAGCACGGGAGGCCUUCGAGAAGCGCUUCGAGGAGACGCGGGCUCACUUCGCCGAGGCUCACCAAGAGCUGAAGGUGGCUCACGAAAAGCUCAGGGCCGAGCAGGACAAGGUCCUCCCGAAGUCGUCUGACAUCCGGAAGGAGGAGGAAGAGGCUGGGCGCCAUAUCUCCGACGAGGACGCUCGCCUUAACGUGGUUUGGAUAAGCCUCAAGUCUCACGAGAAGGCGCUCGAUGGCAGGCUCCGUGCAAAGGACGAAGAAGUUGAGAAGCUCGUGGCGCGGCGUACCCAAGAGCUCGUGGAUCAGCAUAAGGACGCCCUUACCGCCCAGGCCUCGGAGCAUGCCGGCAAGUUGUAGGAGGUUGUCGGCAAGGCUGCCAACGCCGAGGCUUCCAAGGACGAGCUUGCCGGCAAAUUGAAGAAGCUGGAAGAGGAUCUUGAAGGCCUCGGCAAGAAGAUCUCUGCCCUCACAGUAGAGAGAGAACAUGCUCUCUCUAACUUGGCGGAGACCCAAGCUGCCGUUUCUGACAAGAGUGAUCAACUCAGCUCCGCCAAUUCUUUCCUUGUCGCCUUGCAAGAUAAACUAGCUCGUCUAGAGCGGGCUCUUGAAAAAAGCAAGGCCCGCGAGGAGGUGUUGGCUCAAAAGCUCCUUGUCGUGACGAAGAAGCUCGAGGCCGCCUCUGCCGCCCGCGAAGGUUAUAUGCACGGCAUGGAGCUGUGGACAAAGCGUCUUGUCAACACCGCUGAAGGGAUCGCUGCACAGUUGUCUUCUAUGGAUCUCCAGGGUGAUGGUUAUUCCCCGGACCCGGAGGUGUCUUCAAGCGCCAAGCAGGCCCUGUUGUUCGAAAGCGUGAUUGACGCUUUGAGGUAGAUUCAGGCUAGCGAGGCAGCGCGCCUGGCGAACGAAUCACGAAGGUUGUGCCGGGGCGCCCUCCUUAAGGUCCUCACCAAGCUGCCGUACAAGAAUCCCGGCAUCUACCUCUCCGGGGCAUCUGCCAAAAGUUGCGAACCUCAAGGAACUCGAGAAUCUGGUCAUGCCUAUUGUCGACAAGGCGGAACAGAUCAAGAGGGUCGAGGGCCUGCGCCGGGAUUAGUUCUUCUGCUGCUGCGAUCCUCAACCGAGAGCUGUUGUGCCUUGUUUAAUACUGUUAGUAUUGUAAUAUACAUUUUUUAAUGAAUGCUACUUUCCUCCCUUGCUCUUUUUGCAUGGUUCGUUCUUAUGUUCCGCUGAGGGUUCGCUAGCUCAAUUGGCUUUGCCGCAAUUGCUCCCGAGGGGUGACUUUUGCCGGAGUCGUCUCUGCGGGCAAGGUGCUUUGCUUCCCCCUGGAUUUACCCAUAGGUUGUCGAGCACGCCCCCUAAGCGGAAAAGGGCACGCGAGGUGGGCCUCUUAAGCUAUCGGGCGCGCUCUGAGACAACGUUUAGGAGGUUUGCGGUGGAGUUCCGUCGCACACAAGUUUUCCAUACAAACGUGUGCUAGUGACAUUUAAAGGGGAGGGUCGUGUCUGCCCGAAGACUUACUUGAAGUUUUUGCAACUUAUCUUUAGGCUGCGGUUCUUCUUUCUGUCUUGGGUAGACCGUCCUUGUUCUUUCUAUUGUCGUGGGCAUCCCCACUAUCUUCCCCGUCGGCAAAUUUAUGCGCGGGGUUUCAUCUGUCUUUUAAGAAAAAGAAAGAAGAGAAAAUAUGUGUCGGGACUUGACAGUCCAUUAGCUCAGGCGUUUCACAAAAUCUUAGAUUAUGCAUGUAUAUGAUCUAACAUAGAAAUCUAAAUGAUGAUGCAGAACACUACGUUUUAUGCAACUCAGCACAGGGGCUUCGUGUGGCUUUGUACAGAGGUUCACAUGCAACUUCGGCAAGACUUGUACAAAAGGUGGUCCCAGGGAGGCCCAACAACCUUUCGCUAUGGGUAGAACUUUCGAAGAUUUUCAAUAUUCCAGGAGUUGCUCACCGGUGUGCCAUCUUCGGUCUCCAGGCGGACAGCUCCGGGCCUGGUGACUCGUACUACCCUAUAUGGGCCUUCCCACUUCGGCAUCAACUUGUUUGAAUUCUUGGCCGACUGAACGUGUCGAAGAACAAGGUCGCCUUCCUCAAGACUUCUGGCUUGCACCUGGUGGUAUGAUAGCGACGCCAGGCUUUCUCAUAACGAGUAGCUCGUACAGCUGCCCGAAUCCAGGUCUCCUCGAGGAUCACUGCGUCGUCUUGGCGCAAUUGCUCUUGCUCAAGCUCAUCAUAAGCGAGCACUCGGGAUGACCCAAAAGUGAGUUCCAUGGGAAGAACUGCCUCCGCCCUGUAGAUCAGGGAGAAGGGUGUCUGGACGGUGGCUCGAUUUGGUGUCGUUCUGAUUGACCAAAGAACCGCCGAUAGUUCAUCAAUCCAGUGCUUUCCAUGCCUCCCCAGCUUGUCAAAAGUUCUUGUCUUGAGCCCCCGGAGUACCUCGACAUUUUCUCUUUCAGCUUGACCAUUGCUCUUUGGAUGGGCAACAGAAGCGAAGCAUAUUAUGGUGCCGAGGUCUUGGGCGUAGUUCAUGAAGGCAUGGCUCGUGAACUGGGUUCCAUUGUCCAUGAUGACCGUGUUCGGGACUCCUAUAUGGAAGACAAUUCAUUUGAAGAACUUGACGGCUGACUGGGCAGUCACCUUUCUCACCGGCUCCACCUCUGGCCACUUUGUGAACUUGUCGAUUGCGAUGUAGAAGUACUCAAAUCCCUCGACAGCGUGGGGAAAAGGGCCGAGAAUAUCGAGCCCCCAGACCGAGAAUGUCAAGAGAGAGGGAUCGUUUGGAGAGCUUGAGCUGGCUGUUGAAGCUUCCUUGAAUGAAACUGGCACGCUUCACACUUGGUUACUAGUGCAGUUGCAUCGUGGAGGGUCGUGGGCCAGAAGAAGCCUUGCCGACAAGGGCUCUUGCCACUAUGUGGGAGCCACAUAUCCCCUCAUGUAUCUCGGCCAACAGCUUCACCCCUUUCUCAUGGGCAAUGCACUUCAGUUUCACACCGUUUAGUCGUCUUAUGUACAGAGCAUCAUCCACGAAUUGGUACAUGCUGGACUGACGGGCUACUCUUUCCGCUUCUUCCUGUCCUUCGGGAAGGUCCCCAUCCUGGAGGUACUCGACUAUGUGCUGCGCCCAUGCCGGAGCGUGAGGUUCGGCGCAAGGACUAAAGGCAUCUCCUCUGCCGGGAUGGUGUCUAUCCCGACAGGCUUUGUAUCUCCCCCGACAACUUCCUUUCCGACAAGGUCCUCGCCGGGGCCCUUUGGCAGGUCCGCCGUAAAGUACUUGCCAGAGUUUAGCCUUCUCCUCUAUUCCGGCUUGGUGGAUGGUGAUACAGAAGGUUGAGUUAGUCGUAGCAUGAAAGUUCCUGGUUCCACAUGUAACUUAAGGGCUGCGCACUUCGACAAUUCGUCGGCGAUGGUGUUUUCGGCGCGGGGGAUGUGCUCCGCAUGGAGACCAUCAAAGUGCUCUUCCAACUUACUCACUUUCUCAACAUAAGCUUCCAUCAAUGGGCUCUGGUAGUCCUUGUUGAUUUGCUGGACUACCAGUUGAGAGUCUCCCCUCACGAUGAGCUUCCUGAUCCCCAGAUCUGCCGCAAUUCUGGGGCCGGGAAGCAGCCCUUCCUAUUCUGCGGUGUUGUUGAUGGACUUAUCCCGGGGAAAGUACAUCUGGAUUGCGUACUUGAGGUGUUGUCCAGUAGGUGCAACUAGUAGCACACCGGCUCCAACACCUUGAAGUGAGAAUGCUCCAUCAAAGUACAUGAUCCAUUCUUGGUUGGAUCCCUUGCCCGGGAGGGUUGAUUCUGGUAUUUCUUCGUGUGGCGUCGGGGUCCAUUCGACAAUGAACUCUGCCAAAGCCCUGCUUUGGAUGGUCGACAUGCUUUCGAACUUGAGGCCGAAACUGGACAAUUCCAAAGCCCACUCCACCAUCCUGCCAGUUGCAUCGGAGUUCCGCAAAACCCUUGGCAGCGGAAAGCGGGUAACGACGGUGAUCUCAUGUGCUUGGAAGUAGUGGCGCGGCUUCCUCGAGGCCAUGAGAAGGCCGAAAAGCAGUUUUUGCACCCUGGAGUAUCUCGAUCUAGCCCCCUGCAGGAGGGAACUGACGAAAUAGACCGGGCGCUGCACCAUCUUCUUCUUCUGCACUAGCUCGCCUGUUGGAGGGGUUCCUCCUGAUCACCCCUGGAUUUUGCCGGGGCUCCUUGGUUGCCAGUGUGCGCUUCCUCAUUUGGUGGCGUCGCCUUAGCUGGAGUACCUUCGUCAUCUUCCCUCUCCGCCACCAAGGCGGCGCUAACCACCUGGUUGGUUGCCUCUAGGUACAGGAGCAGCGGUUCUUGUGGUUUGGUGCUACCACGAUUGGCGCAGAGGAAAGGGUAUCGCUUCAGGUCUUGUAGUGCUGUUUCUGCCUCGGCGAUCCACUCCAUUGGUCCCGCUUUCUUCAAAAUUUUGAAGAAAGACAAGGUGCGUUCGGCGGACUUGGAGAUGAACCUGCUCAGGGCGGCUACACAGCUGGCAAGGCAUCGCACAUCCUUGACACGCUUUAGUGCCUCGAUUUGUUCAAUGGUCUUGAUCUUGUUGGGGUUAGCUUCGAUCCCACGUUGAGACACGAAGAACCCGAGAAGCUUGCUGGCUGGAACACCGAAGACACACUUUUCAGGGCUGGGCUUGAGGUUAAUCUAGCGCAGGUUGGCAAAUGUCUCCUCCAGAUCUUGCACGAGUGUUGACCUUUCUUUGGUUUGAACCACUAUAUCAUCCAUGUAGGCUUCCAGGUUCCUAUGGAGUUGGGGCUCAAAACCAAACUGGAUCACCCUUGCAAAGGUGGAGCUGGCAUUCUUCAGCCAAAGGGCAUGCAUACAAAGUAGUACGUGCCACAGGGGUUGAUGAAAGAGGUUUUCUCUUCAUCUUCCUCGGCCAUGUAAAUCUGGUGAUAUCCUGAAUAGGCAUCGAGGAAGGACAACAGGUCACAGCCAGCGGUGGAGUCGACAAUCUGGUCGAUGCGCAGCAAGGGAAAAGGGUCUUUUGAGCAUGCUUUAUUGACAUAGGUUAAAUCGAUACAAAGCCGCCACUUUCCGUUUGCCUUGCGCACUACAACCGAAUUGGCCAACCAGGUGGGAUGGAUGACUCCCCUGACGAGUACCUCUGCUUCUAACUUCUUGAUUUCCUCUUCAAUUAACUCCUGCCGCUCCAAGGCUUUCUUCCUCACUCUCUUCUUGACCGGCCGCGCGUGGGGGCAGACAGCGAGGUGGUGCUCAAUCACCUUCCUGGGAACACCGGGGAUAUAUGAUGGUUGCCAUGCAAAAACAUCGAGAUUCGCCCGCAGGAAGGCGAUGAGCGCACUUUCCUAUUUGCUAUCAAGGGCAGAACUUUUGGUGAAAGUUCCACCCGUGCCGUCCUCUUAGGCGGGUACCUUCUUGAUUUCUGGUGGGGCAGCCUUGGACUUCUUGUUUCAGGCAGUAGAGGUUUCCCGGUCGUCUUCAACGACAGCAAGGUACUCCAGAGCAACGUGCUUGCCGGGAUCAACGCGGGAAGCCCUCUUGUCGGGAUUCUUCUCUCUGGGGGACAGUGCCUUGGCGGCAGGCGUUGCCACUAUCUUCUGGUAGAGGCAGUUGGUGCACACGAGCGCAUCCUUCUUGUCGGCGUUGAUGACGAUCACGCCGACUAGCCUGGGCAUCUUCAGGGUGUUGUAGGCGUAGUGGGAAGCCGCCAUGAACUUAGCUAGUGCAGGACGCCCGAGGAUCCCGUUGUAUGCGAACGGAUUGUCAGCAACGUCGAAGACGAUCUUCUCCGUUCGGUAGUGGUGGUCACUGCUGAAAGUCACAGGCAACAUGAUCUUCCCCUUCGGUUGAAUCUUCCCUAGGUUGAUCCCUUGGAACGCUCCCUUUUCCUCAAGAUCUUCGUCGGGGAUCUGUAACCUUUGGAUCGCGUCGGGGGAGAUGAGGUUCAGACCUGACCCGCCAUCUACCAACAUAUUCAUCACCUUGAGGUUGCGGAUCGUUGGCGAGACCAACAACGGCAAACAUCCGACCGUUGUAACGUGGUCUGGGUGAUCCUCUAAAUCGAAGAUGAUCGGUGUGUGUGACCACUUCAAGGGCCUAUGAGUGCCGAGGGAGGGCUCCGCCGCGCUCAUCUCACGCGCCCACUUCUUCAGUUGGCAGUGGGAAGAGUGAAGCGAUGCCCCUCCAUCGAGGCACAUCAUGUCUGUGGCCUUCUGGAACUCGUGGUCACUAGAGUCGUCGUCUGGGUAGUCUUCAUCCUCAUCUUCCUCCUUCCUUUCCCGCGCUGGUGCGGGCUUGACCUUCUUGUUCUUGAACUUGCCAGGGGGACCCCCUUCGCCGCCCUUCUUCCUGCCCGAUCCUUCGCCACCAUCUUGGGCCUUUUCUUUGUCGCGUCUGUGGUACUCUGCCCUCUGUUUGUUGGCAAGCUGUUCGACUUGUCGGCAGUGUUGGAGGUCGUGACCCUUGGUGCGGUGGAUCUUGUAGUACUGGGCGUCGGAGCCCUCGGGCUUGUUGGUGGCCGCCAAGGCUUGGGAAGAGCUGCAUCCAUCACCAUCUUCGCCGGAAGCCUCGGCCUUCGCCUACUUGGAGGCGUCGCCGCUGCCGGAUGUUUCGACGGGGAACGCGGCUUUCCCCUUCCAUUUCUUCUUGCGUCGCUCCCCCUCUUCGUGGGGGCGCUGACGUCUUCAUCUUCGGAGUCGGCCUCUGCACCGGCGUAUUCACCAGGAAGCCUUCUCCUUCUGCUCGAGCACACUUGUCCGCCAGGGCGUAAAGCUCGGCGACAUCGCGGACCUUGUUCAUCGCAAGCUCCUUGCGCAUCUUCCAGUUCCGCACGUUCUGAUGGAACGCCCUGAUGACUGCAACUGGGUGAACAUCCGAGAUGUUGUGUUGUAUGCGGUUGAAUCUCUAGAUGUACUUGCGCACAGUCUCACCCUCCUUCCGGGGGAUGAUGUGCAAGUUGCUCUCCUGGUCAGGGGCCCGAUGGCCGCCCGUGAAGGCGCAAACGAAGUCCUGACAAAACUCCUUCCCGGAGGAAAUGGAGUUCUUGGGUAGGUGCAUUAACCACGACCUGAGGUUGGGCUUCAGAACCAACGGGAAGUAGUUGGCCAAUAUCUUCUCAUACCAACCACCAGCAGCAUGCACCACGAUGGUGUAGAUGCUUAGGAACUCGGACGGGUGGGUCUUGCCAUCGUACUUCUCUGGGAUUUCCAGCUUGAAGGUACAGGAGCUGGGCCACUCGACCUGCCGCAACUCGCGGGUGAAUGUCAGGCAGCCCACCUUGUAAGGUAGGUCGCCAGGAUACCCCGAUGGGGGAGCGUCUAUAGCGGCCCCUGCUCGUCUGUCUGACUGACGGCGUGUCUCUCAUCGUCGCUCGAUGAGAGCACGCACAUCCUCCUUCUGCCACUCGUGAAGGACAUCAUGUUGAUCGCGGCGGGUCCGCGGGUCAGAAGACCCGGUCGAAUCGUUAGAGACGACAAUCCUUUGCCGCCAUCGUGGGGAAGAGUGUACCGUGGCGGUGGCAGCUCCAGUCUUCUCGGUGCAGUCGUGGGCGCGUUUGCCGGAGGGCCAUUUCGACGUCGCCUGCUCGGGCCCGUCCCCAUUGGCGAGGGUGACAAGACUCUAGAUGGUAGCCCUCCACUCCUUGAGCCUGUCUGCUAUCGGGGAGAAGUCCAAGAGUAGUUGGGCUCGCUUCAGGGCUUCCGCCGGCAUGGGCGGCGGUGAUAUGUGCGAAGACCGCGAGGGACUCUUACUUCUAACUGUGUUGAAAGGAGGAUCCCCUUGGUCUCGCGGUGGCGCGCCGCUCUUGCCGGUCGCGGAGCGAGCGUGUCGGUCCUGUGAAUCUUGGGAGCGAGGUCCCGGAGACCUUCGUGGGGGCGGCGACCCACCGCCGCUCCGGCGUGGUCCGCCGUGUGCGCCCUCGGAAGGCUGUGGUGGGUCGAUCUGCGUCAUUGUCCUCGAGGAUGUCCUUACAUCCUACGGGGUAGCGGCGCCACCCGUGGCUGUGCAGCUACAUCUUUCGACGUCCCGGCGUGCGGAUGCUCGCCGUGGUCGCGGAUGAUACCACUCGCCCGGGUCUGCUCUCCAGAGUGUCGAGGAGGUUCGGGACCUCCGCCUCCUUGUCCUGCGCCCACACCCUCACCUGCCUGCGCCGGGGCAGGAGCAUUGGGCGCGGGUGUGUCUGUCGCCGGAGCACCCCUCCUCUUGGGGGCAAUGGCGGUGAAGAGGAACUAGUGUGCUGAAGGCUAGAUCGGAUCAACGCGACCUCCUCCCCCUACCUGACGCGCCAAAGAUGUCGGGAAAACCGACACCUAUGGGAAACUCGAGGAGUCCCUUGAUCGUUUGGCAGGGAGAGAGAGGUACGAUGUCGAGAGCGGAGCUAGCUAUCAACACCGGCAAGGUCUUUUACUCAGGUUCGGGCCGCUUGGCGCGUAAAACCCUACUCCUACUUAGUUUGUAUUAUGUGCUUACUGUAGGGUGAUUUGCUACAGUAACUUAGUGGGUGAUUAGGAAGUCUCCAAUCCCCAAAGGGUCCAACCCUUAAGCAUGAGCCUUGGGCCUCUUUUUAUAGGAAAAGGGGUCACCAACAGCGUGCUCAUGGGGUGAAUAGUGAACAGUAUUCACCGCUCUACAUCUUCGGUGGUGUUAGGGGCAGUAAAUGCCUUGUCUGACCCCUCACCUGUCGCAGGGUGGUCGCGACACGUAUCCAGGUGAAUCGACACCCAGGUCUUGUGCUGGCACAGGAGGGAUGUGCUGGAGCGGUCGGAUUGUGGUAGAAACGGGGGGGGGGGACACCUGGCGAGUGAAGGGGGCUUGCUGGCCUGGAGCCUCUGUCGGAUCACUUGGUCACCUUCCCGGCAAGGAGGACUUGUCGGGGGCUUGGACACUUUCCCGGCAAGGAGGGCUUGCCGGGGGCCUCGCCAGUCUGUGCGAGCCUUCCCGGCAAGGGAGGCUUGCCGGGGUCUUGCUAAUCGUCGGGAAUCUUCCCGGCAAAGUGGGCUUGCCGGGACCUUGGGGAUCUUAGAGGCAAGGAGUGCUUGCCGGGGCCUUGCAUCUGGAGACCUUGUACUCCACACCCCACGAAGAGAGGGAACGCCGUGGCCUUGGUGGGUCUUGGAUUGCCUUUCUGCUGUUCUUCCCGAUGCACUGCCGUCACGGGCGUUGGUGAUGCCCGUGCACAAGUCUGGGUCACUAGGGACCCUAGUCUCUAGUGCGCUGACAGUAGGCGUGUCCUGAUUGGUGUUAUGGAAAAAAGGAAUCAUGGACGACAUUGGUUGAUAUUUGGCUCGAUGAUGAUGAUAAGUGGGCUGCUAAAAGCAUCCAAAACCGGGCUAAUUGAGGGAUUGACGGAACACAUGGUUAGGGAAACUGAAACCAUUGGAGGCACAAGAAAGUUCAGGUAUAUCUAUGUACAUGAAAAAUUCUUCUUCUUCUAUGCAUGACUAACCUAUGUUUGGUGGUCUUUGGUGGUCCGGAGGAGAAAUUGAAGUGACCGCCCUCAGACAUGGAGGCGUGGGAGCUAGACCAUAUGCGGACUAAGCCCAAGGAUGGCAAGGUCAAGUACUAUGGCAAGUCCGGCCAACACAUUUAGGCCUACAAGGAGGCGUAUCUUGGGUUCAAUCCUGAUAGACCUGACCCCAUAAUAGAGGCUACGGACGACAGGGCGGUGGUCGGCAUAGGGUCGAAGAAUCAUGGUCAGAAGGUAUUUCUGGACGUUGUGGUCACUCCUUCUAUCUCCUACACACAACUCCGAGUUACGAACCCGAGCCUGAGACCGCACCCGAGCACGACCAGUGCACCCUCACAGUCCCUCCUAACCCAGCAACACAUUGUAAGAAUUUUCCCUCUUAUCUUCCUUUAUUUUCCACAUUGAGAUGCUUCAUGAGUUUCAUCAUGCCAUAUUGUAGGCCUACAUGGAGUACACACGUCACAAGACCCUGGCGUGGAAUGCGAGAGCUACAACAGUUGUGGACCACAACAGUUGCAUGAUGAAGGUUAGUUUUGACCCUUUCAUUUGACUUUCAUAUUUGCACUUUCAUUUCUUCUAACCUUCGUGUUUUCUUGUUCAACUAACAUGCAUCACGUUUUUGACUCCUUGGCGUCCGACACGGCUCCUGUAAUGGAACCACCAUCACCACCUACUGGACCACAACCAGUGCUGGCUACGUUUGAAGAAAUUCUAGCACAACACUGUCCAACUCCGGUUUGUACAUCCCCAAACUAUUCAACCACUACUUAUCGUUUAUUCACCACAAUCAUAUAUCUCUUUAACAUCUCUUUUCAAACAUGCAGGGAACCGGUGGAUCAUCCAUUGGUGGUGGUGCCAAUUAUGGCAUCACUCCCGAGUCAUAGAGCCCGAUCACUCCAAUCCACCGUGGAGGUGGCGGUGGCGGUCUUGACACUAGCGGUGUCGGUAGCAGUGAUGAUCUGGGAUUUGGCGGUCUUGGCGGUGACGAAGUUGGUGGUAGACGUCCUGGCCCUUAAGCCUCUAGGUGGUGGUGCUGACUUCUAUCUUUCAUGCUUCUCUAUUGUGGACUUAUGUUGUGUUGUUCGAGUUAUGUUGUGUUGUUCGACUUAUGUUGUGUUGUUUCCACUUAUGUUGUGUUGAUUCGACUUAUGUUAUGAUGGUAAUACUUAUCUUAUGGUGAUAAUGAUGUGGAUCUGAUAUAUAUAUAUAUAUGGUGUAUAUAUGAUCUGUGAUAUAUAUGUGUUCUGUAUUUGAAUUGAACAUGAGUAGGAAAUAAAAAAAACAAGAAAUAUGCCGACGGCUAUGCCGUCGGCAUAGCCAUGCUCUAGUAAGGACCAGAAGCUGCCACGUUGUAGAGAUACGUCGACGACUAUGUCGUCGGCAUAGCCAUGCGCCAGGAAGCACCAGAAACCGUUACAUGACAGAUCUACAACGACGGCUAAACCGUCGGCGUAGCCUCACGCCAAAGCACGUGAGGGACCGCCAUGUGGCAGAUCUACACCGACGGCCUCCACGUCGGCUCAGCUUUGGAGAUAUACUGAAGGCUAUGCCGCCGGCAUAGGGGUGCCACGUGGUUUGCUCCGGUUAGCUGUCGCCCGCUGACGGCGCCGUCAUGUGCUGUCAUGUGGCAAAGGUUGCCGACGGUCUAUCUAUGCCGACGGCUAUACGACGGUCGUCGGCGUAGGUACCUAUGCCGACGAACCUGGCCGGAUACGCCGAUGUUCGUUCCCGACGGUGCUAUGCCGACGAUGGCCGUCGGCAUAUCCCUACGCCGACGCGAUAUGGACCUACUCCGACGGCCUUCGGACGUGAUUCUCUCCUUCUAUAAAACUAUGAUACGCAUUUUUGUACUCUCGAAAAACUUUGAAGUAAAUUACACAAGUAUUAUUGAUUACAGGGCAUAUUUCCAAUAAGGCAAACCGCUAGGGUGGCCCGGUCUGCAUGAAUUAGAGGUGGACCAGAGUAAAACCACAAGAGGGAAAACAAGGGAAAUGGAGGAACCAACAAACUCCCCUUUAAUUAGUAAAGCUCAUUGGUUUCCAUUCAUAUCAUGUGUUGUGUUAUCUAUUUACUACAUAUGUUACUUCUAUCGUGGCUAGUCUUAUGUUUGUUUCGUCGAAAGUGCUAUUAUGAGCUUGAGCUCAAAUGCCUUUAGAUGAACAAUAAAAUCCAAAAAAAUAGUAAAAUGUUUCAAAAAAUUGUAAAAUUUUGUGGCAAGAAACAUUGGUGUUUUUCCUACAUGCAUGCCAAAAUUCAUAAGGGAAUCACAUUCGUGGAGGUAUAGACAAAAAAACAAAAUUGAUGCUUCAAAAUGCUUCCAAAAACACUAUUUUUAAAGCAUUGAUUUUGUUUUUUUACCCACCCUCCACAAAUGUGAUUUUAUCAUGAUUUUUUUGCGGGGUUUCAUCAUGAAAUUUUGCACGCAUGUAGUAAAAAUAUCAAUGUUUCAUUUCUCAAAAUUUCUGAUUUUUUCGAUUUUUUAAAUAUAUUUGCCGAUUUUACUGUUCAUACGGGAGUAUAUGAGCUCGAGCUCAUAUACUCCAUGUCCUUGUUCAUACGGGAGUAUAUGAGCUCGAGCUCAUAUACUCCAUGUCCUUGUUUCGUUCUCUUCUCUCUUUGUCUAAGUCUGUAACUCCAAUUUUAUCCCUUGAUCAAUGAUUCGUCGAAUAUGCACCAGCGUAAUCUUUUUGUGAGGACAACGUGUAGUAUUAUUAUUUCAACUAGCAAAAGGGCUCGUGCGUUGCAACGGGAGAAAAAAUACCACACGCUUUUAAUGUUUUAUAAUCAUUUUGAUUUAUUAAAAUAAUAAGCUGACGAACUAAUGUAGUCAGUUCUAUCCUAUUUUGUUGAGAAAUCAACCCAUCCAUUGUUAAUUCUACCAUGAUGAGAAAUUGAGCGGGACAAGCAAAGCAAAACAAAGAGGCUACGUGAAUUGAUCAAGGGACUGUUAUCUUAUUUCACUCAUGGGAUAGAGAACGUGGGAUGAGAUGAAAAACUGAAGAUGGUGUUCCAUUCUCUCUCUCUACAACAAUGCAAUCUUACAUUCAAUACAUUCAUUCAUCAGCAAACAAAUUCUCACAAAACAAAUUUUCUUGCCGGUGCUUGGCACACGAUUGGAGGCAUGCAGAGGGGAUCUCAUCAGAUGAUGAGUUCCUGCCGGAGGAGGGGAUACGAUGAGGGGAGCAAGGGUUAGGCGCCUCUAUCUGGCCAUAAGGAGUCGCCGUUGCCGCGCCAUAACCUCGGAGUUCCCCGUGUGAGCCAUGGAGGUCCGCCUCCACCUGCAAGUACUUCGCUCCGCCGCGCCUUAUCCGCGCGCCGCCGCCGUUCUGCAUCGAGCAGACGCAUCAUCCAAGUCGUUGUAGCUGUCGCGUUGAUUUGAUCCAGAAGCUGUGCUCGAGUGCCGAAACAGGGGCAGCAAGCGGGCAGAGGUACGACCGCGGAGGCGGGCAGGUUGAGAUCGACAGCAGUGGUGGUUGAGGUCGGCCGCGGCGGCGAGUGGUGUGGCAGCGGCCUGGGCACAGGCCAGGGUGGACCAGGGUCGACGCGAUGCGCUCGAGCGCCUCAACGUGGUAGUGAGCGGGGAGAGGUACAGCCGCGGAGGCGGGUGGGUUGAGAUCGGCAACGGUGGCGGUUGAGGUCGGCCGCAGCGGCAAGUGGUGUGGCGGCGGCCUGGGCACAGGACAGGGUGGUCCAGGGUCGACGGGAGGAGGCGAUGCGUACGGGUAUAAUUUUUACAGCGAAUCAUUUUUUUUCUUUUGCGUUGCAGAUAAAUGAUGGAGCGCGGGUUGAAUAACAAAAAAUACAGGGGUUUUUUUAUAAAAAUGUUGUGGUGGGUUUUCCGACGAAAGCAAUAGCCGCUUUAUUAUUAGAUAUAGAUUAGUCUAUCAGAACGGAAGAACAUCGAAAAACUUUCAGGACAAUACUUGGUAGAAAAAUUACACCCGACCCGAUUCAGACGUGCUGCCUACCUAAUUAUCCAUCUACGUAGACUAAAGAGCAGAACAUGCACGCAGUCGUAGAGAGGAAGCAGGAACAACGAGUGCAGUUAACCAAACGUCUGAACCGGCCAGUUGCGUGCCUACGGCUGGCUACACGCCGCCGCAGCGGUAGACGAUCCGGCACGUACGCCCCACCCGGACGACGUACUUGUGCUGUGGCUUCACGAGGAACGGCGGCAGCCGUAGGAGCGCCUCGCAGACACAGUCCUUCUGCACCUCCUGCAGCCACCGGCAGCAGUCGCGGUACGCCCGGAGCUCCUCGUCGUGGUGGUGCUCGUGGUUGUCGUCAUCGUGCUCGUGCUCGUGCUCGUGGUCAUCGUCGUCGUCAUCGUCGUCGUCGUCAUGGUCGUCGUCUUCUUCAUGGUCGUCGUCGUGAUCGGGGUCCUCCUCGUGGUCAUCAUCAUGGUCGGGGUCCUCCUCAUGGUCGUCGUCAUGGUCGGGGUCCUCAUCACCGUCGCGCACACGACCACGGCGCCCACGUCCACGCCCACGCCCGCGUCCACGCCCACGCAGACGGCCGUGCCCGCGGCGCGUGUGGUUGCCGCCAUGGUGACCGGUGCCGUUUCUUGCAACGACAACGCCGCUGCUGUUGCUGUUUGCCGCCAUCAGACCAAGGGACGAGAUGUUGAUGACCGCCGCGUGGCCAUGGCGUCCACGGAGGCGGCGGUCACUGUCUCCACCGUGGUGAUCGUCGUCGCCGUCGUCAUCAUCGUUGUCGUCAUCAUCAUCAUCGUCAUCGUCGUGGUGGUGAUGGUGUCGGUCGUCCUCCGGAGGGCUGGGCGGCAGGAUGGAGCAGGCCUGGCUGGCAAUGGCGAACUGACUGAUGCAGAAGGCCUUGGCCUUGCCCUGCUGCGCGGCGACGGGGGCGAGGAGGGAAGGGAAGAAGAGGAGGACGGCGGCCAAAGCCGCGAUGUGGGACGCCGAUGCUGCCAUCUACGGAGUCGUGGCUGCUAUGUGAAGUGCCACACUAGUGCAUGCCGGCCACUUCUUAUAAAGAUGUGUAACCAAGUCAGUAAUGUGCAUUAGAGAGGUUAUUAAAUAGUUGGGGUCAAGGCCGGGUUGGGAGUGACCUGGUCGAUCGAGAUGCACACAGCAUGGUGCAUGGUUGUAAUUAGUUAGGUGCUUCAUAACUAUGGCGUGCAUCCAGGAUUGUCCAGCCAUGUCCACCUUGUUUACAUGCAUGAAGGCGUGCAUUGUUGGUGAGAGGCCAGUGACAAUUUGGUUGUAUUAAACUUACUAAAUUAUUAUGUUCGUCAAUCUUAAAAGAAGUCCGCCUAAUUUAGAAUGUUUAGAGGUUGUUUGCAUUUGUUAAGCUGUCUUACAUUUUGUUUUUCAUUUACCCCGCUGGUUAAAAGAGAUAAUGAUAUGUACUCCCUCCGUUCUUAAAUAUAAUUUUUUUAGACACUACAAAACUACAUACAAAUGUAUAUAAAUAUAUUUUGAAAUAUAAAUUUAUCUAUUUUAUUAUGUAUGUAGUUAUAUAAUGAGAUAUAUAAUAAAACUUAUAUUUAAGAACGAAGAAGAGAGUACGUACUGUACAAAUAGUCAAAUCUCACCAUUCAAAGCAUCAAAAGAUAACAAAGAUUACGUCGAGUUCUCUAAACCACCAAGCUACCAAUGCCUCCUGAGAGAGCCAGUUCAAAAUUCAUGAAAAUUCAUACCAUAUAAUGCAAUUUAGUUUAAAUGUCAUAAUAAUUUCAGCAAAUCUCUAUCUCUACUACUUAAGGUUACCGUUUCACCACUUGCUGCGUGCAUUCUUUCUAUAUAUAUUCUCCCUUCCUUUUAUGUCUUUUUCCUCCUACGUUGAUUUUCUCCCACUAGUUUUCUCUAAAGCAACUCAAUUAUCUCACGUCUUAUUAACUAUCAAAAUAAAAUAUCAUUACCAUUGAUAACUCAAUAAAUUGUUACAAACUAUUCCCUCCGUCUUACGGCACUUAUUUUGGGGCGGAGGUAGUAUUAUUUAAGAAUAAGACGAGAGGUGAAUUAGGAUCAUUGUAAACAAAAAAUAGAUAAGAUUUUAGUUCACCAAUGUAAUAAAAGACUUUCACUACUAGGAAAAAACUUAUAGACAAACGCUAACUAGUAGCGCAGGUUUUUACCCCUCGCUACUGAUACUUAGUAGUAGCACGAGUUUUUACCCCUCUACUACUAAGUUGAUAGUAGUAGCGCGGGUUUUUAACCCUCGCUACUACUAAGUGGUCUCAACUGUGCCCCCCUAGGACAUGCAAUAGUAGUAGCGCGGUGUAUAAACGAGCGCUACUACUAAGUUGAUAGUAGUAGUGCGGGUUUAAAACCCACGCUACUACCAGGUAGCCUUCAUUGUUGAAAGGACCACGAUGACGCCUCGAGGGGGGGGGGAGGGGGGAGGGUGAAUAGGCUAUUUAAAAACUUGUUCGGAUUUGGCUUAAACCUAAUGCGGAAAUAAACUAAGAGGAUACUUUUCAAGCACAAAUCCUAAAUGCAAUAGGCACCGCAACAUGGUUACUAACAAGCACAAGUAAGUUACACAACCUUACUUGAGCUAUAUCACACGACAAGUAGGUGAACGACACAAGAUACUAGAUCACACUAUAGCACACGAUAUAUCAAAAGCUGCAAGUGUGAACGUGUGGAUAUAGAGGGUAUGCUUGAACGAUUAAUCUUGUACAAAGAAAUAGCCAACACAAUAUAAUGAGCACAAACAAUAUGCAAUGUAUGUAUGCUCAAGUAANNNNNNNNNNNNNNNNNNNNNNNNNNNNNNNNNNNNNNNNNNNNNNNNNNNNNNNNNNNNNNNNNNNNNNNNNNNNNNNNNNNNNNNNNNNNNNNNNNNNNNNNNNNNNNNNNNNNNNNNNNNNNNNNNNNNNNNNNNNNNNNNNNNNNNNNNNNNNNNNNNNNNNNNNNNNNNNNNNNNNNNNNNNNNNNNNNNNNNNNNNNNNNNNNNNNNNNNNNNNNNNNNNNNNNNNNNNNNNNNNNNNNNNNNNNNNNNNNNNNNNNNNNNNNNNNNNNNNNNNNNNNNNNNNNNNNNNNNNNNNNNNNNNNNNNNNNNNNNNNNNNNNNNNNNNNNNNNNNNNNNNNNNNNNNNNNNNNNNNNNNNNNNNNNNNNNNNNNNNNNNNNNNNNNNNNNNNNNNNNNNNNNNNNNNNNNNNNNNNNNNNNNNCAAAUCUCAAAUAGCUUGGGUUGAGAGGAGGAGAGGGAGACGAUCUAUCUUUUGAUUGGAACAACUCUCAAAGGGGCUCACAAAUGCUCUUGGGAUCUAAGAUUUGGUGUGAGCAAAUGUGUGUGAGGUAGAAAUGUGUUCUUAUGAGGAUAUGGCUGUGUUGGGCACCCUCUCACGAAGUGGGAGGGGGGUAUUUAUAGUGGAGAAGGGAAAGUGACCGUUGGGGUCANNNNNNNNNNNNNNNNNNNNNNNNNNNNNNNNNNNNNNNNNNNNNNNNNNNNNNNNNNNNNNNNNNNNNNNNNNNNNNNNNNNNNNNNNNNNNNNNNNNNCAAGCUAUUUGAGAUUUGAGCAAGUUUUGAGCAUUCCAAGUGAUCUUGUUACUCUUCGAGGUUGGAGACUCCUAGGCGGUAGGAGUUCUUUGGAGAGGAAUCAAUCCGUGUGAUUUCCCCCGGAAAAUUUUGUGAGGGUUUGGAAGCUACCUCAAAGGCUUACCACUAGUGGUUGAGAAACGCCUUCGUGGUGUUAUCUCAAAGGGAGAAUAGGGUGAGCCUUCAUGGCAUUGGUGUGCCUUCGUGGUAACAUCCACCUCUCUAACGGUGACUAGCUUCCCUACAAGGAAGAGAACAUCGGGAUACAUCUUUGUCUCAGUGACCUUGGUUGUCCUUAACCCUAACUCCUUACUUGUGGUUUACUUGUCUUACUUGAGCAUACAUACNNNNNNNNNNNNNNNNNNNNNNNNNNNNNNNNNNNNNNNNNNNNNNNNNNNNNNNNNNNNNNNNNNNNNNNNNNNNNNNNNNNNNNNNNNNNNNNNNNNNNNNNNNNNNNNNNNNNNNNNNNNNNNNNNNNNNNNNNNNNNNNNNNNNNNNNNNNNNNNNNNNNNNNNNNNNNNNNNNNNNNNNNNNNNNNNNNNNNNNNNNNNNNNNNNNNNNNNNNNNNNNNNNNNNNNNNNNNNNNNNNNNNNNNNNNNNNNNNNNNNNNNNNNNNNNNNNNNNNNNNNNNNNNNNNNNNNNNNNNNNNNNNNNNNNNNNNNNNNNNCUUUUGAUAUAUCGUGUGUUAUAGUGUGAUCUAGUAUCUUAUGUCGUUCACCUACUUGUCGUGUGAUAUAGCUCAAGUAAGUUUGUGUAACUUACUUGUGCUUGUUAGUAACCGUGUUGUGUCCAUCUUGGUAGAUCAUGUUGUUGGUGCAUGUUGUGGUGCCUAUUGCAUUUAGGAUUUGUGCUUGAAAAGUAUCCUCUUAGUUUAUUUCCGCAUUAGGUUUAAUCCAAAUCCGAAGAAGUUUUUAAAGAGCCUAUUCACCCCCCCCCCCCCCCCCCCCCCUCGAGGCNNNNNNNNNNNNNNNNNNNNNNNNNNNNNNNNNNNNNNNNNNNNNNNNNNNNNNNNNNNNNNNNNNNNNNNNNNNNNNNNNNNNNNNNNNNNNNNNNNNNCCAUCAAGUGUGUGUUGAUGGGAGGCAAGUCUUUCUCUUUAUGAUGCUUUGUUCCAUCAUGAAAAUUUAUCGAUGGCUUGGUUUGUUGGAACCUAGCUCUCUUUUGGAAAUUAGAUACCUCGUGUUUGUUUUCCUUCAAUUGGUUUCUUGUUUCCUUUUAUUUGGCAUGUGUCAAUGGAUAUCUUAUUCCUUGAGGUAUCUUCUAAUUGAUAUCCUUCAAGUGAUAGUUAUUUUUUGUUUAGUAUCUUAUUAUCACUUGAUACCUUGUCUUUUGGUGACUUAUCAACUUUGUGUUGAGUUGAUUCUUGAGAGUCUUGUGCAUGCAUAUCUACUAUAUACAACUUCUUUUGCUUGCUUUCCUUCUUUGACCCAAUAUAUAGCGGAAACUCCACCUUGUCAUAAAUUGGCUAAAGUGUGCAUGAAAUUCAAAUUCAUAUCUAUAUGCACAUAUGUAUGUGGAGUUUGUCCUAUGUAUUGCUGGUUUUCUAACUCUUUGGUCCCAAUGAGUUUGGGCACCAUUUUGUUUGUUUUGCUGUUCCAGGAACAACUGGAGAUGCAUUGGAUGCUCGGCUCACCUAUAAGGAAGGUGUUGAGACCAUGUGAUUAUUGGAGCCAAGUUAGGAUGAUCAAAGAACAACUAUCUACUACAUCAAUCCAAUGUUGUCUCGGUAACAAGUAUCCACUUCAUGCAUUCUUUUAUUGCAAAGGCCCCAACCUGUCUUUUCUUUUCCAGGUUGCAUCAUGGCAUGAAUCUCUUGAUUCGUACUUGUAGUACUUGUUUGCUUUCUCAAAGCAUCCGAACGAUGAUGUCUUACUACUAGUUGGGAUGUCUUUGAUGUUCGUAUGUUGGAAGUUCAUAUUGUACAAUAAGAAAAUAUUAGGCCAUGUGCGAUGCUUCCAAGCAAAAGAUCUCAUUGAUAUAUUUAUGACUUCCUUUUGGAUAUCUAGUUUGUUCCUUCUUGUAACCAUUUCGUGUGUACAUCCUUCUUUGUGGAUAUAUAUCAUCAUGAUUGUCUUCUACUUAGAAUAUUUUACACAUGAGAGAAGUUACAUCUCUAAUUGAUAUCGUGUUUUCUUUCACGUCCAUCGUUGCAUUUCCUUUUUCAGUUUUUGGUGGCUUCGUGAAAGGAUUUGUUUUGAGUGCGUAUCUUAUUUUCCUACAUCUUGAUGCACUCUUUGGCCGUGAAGAUAAUUUUUCCUCAUGCAUGUCUUGAUGAGGGUUUUUCCAUUUCAAUUAGUAUCCCUCCUCUUGACAAGGUUCUUACUUCCUAUCUUCACAAUGGGUUGUCACAAGCGUUGGUUCUUAUUUUUUUUAUUAGUAAGCUUGUGAACCCAUUUUCUAGUAUGUGUGUGUGGGAAUGAUAUGUCUUGCACUUUGUAUCUCAUUUCAUCACGACUAUGUUGAUGAGUAAUGCACAUCCUUAUCUUAGUCUUCUCAAGUGCUUUGACAUGACUCACACACAUUACUUUGGUUGACCCUAUUCUUAAGUUGCUUCUUUUACUUGUUGCUCAACCAUUUGUUUUGUGCAAUUGAUAUGCUUAUUGUAUCAUCUAUCUUGUUGCACUCGUUGUGUGUUUUUAUUAAUUUUGGGGGAGCAACGAUCCUAUUUUGUGCACCUGUAUCAAAUAAAAAAAUCGCGUAUUAGUGCACAAAUCAUGGGGAGCUUCUCUAGUUUUUGAUAAAACACUCUCUUGCCUUUAUCAUAAUAUCUUUUAUUCAUGUGGUUUGAAGGACCAUAUGAUUGUUUGUUCCAUCUGGAAUCUUUUGAUUGAUUGCCUCUAUUUUUGUAUGUCUUUGUGGCAUACGAUCCUUUUAUUUGCAAUCUUUGGGUCCUCAAUAUAGUUUGUUUUCCUCCAACUACUUAUAAUUGUAUUUGUGUAUUUCUCUACACUCAUUUGCUGAGAAGUACACAUUUUUUUGGAGGACCACCUACUAUAUUGGCUUUCUAAACUUUUCGUCCAUUUUGGCAAUCGAUGCCAAUGGGGGAGAAGUUUAGAGAGUUUACUUUGGAUAUGUUUAGAGGGUUUUGCUUUUUAUUGCGUAAGCAUUUACAUCUUGCACGCAUGCAUUAUUACCUUGUAUGUGUGUGCUUGGUUAUGCUUAUUUCCUUAUAUAAACUCUCUUGAAGUGGUUGUCUUCAAUUACCAAAAUGGGGGAGAUUGUUAGAGCAUAUAUCUCCAUAUGUGGUUUUGGUAAUUGAUGACAAUUCCUAUGGACUAAUUGUUGCCUUAAGUUAUAUUUAUAGGAUUUGUCCAUAGGCACUUCUUGAAGUCCAUCUGUUGGGUUCAAGGAGUUUAUAUGAUGACCAAGAUGGUAUUUAAGGUAUUAUCCAAUGAAUGGUCAUAGAGACACUAGGUUGAUCAAGAUCUCAGACAAAGAGUAAAUCAAGAUGAUCAACACACAAAGCGUAUAAGAUGUACCGAGAGGGAUCAAGUGAUCCCUGGUAUGGUAAGCAUUGUCCAUUAUGUGUUUUUGUACUAAUCCAUGGUCUUUGUGAGAGUCCUAUGUGGGGGUUAGGUGUGCUUCCAUGGGCUUACGUGAAAAGGAAGAUCUCAUACAACCCAUGAAGGAUGACGUCAAGUGGUGAUCGUCAUCAAGAUUGUGGUGUGCAAGUUCAAGUGGAUCAGCACGAAUAUAUCAUUGAAACUAUUGUUAAUGAUCGUGUGUUGAUAAGGACAAGCUCAUGUGCUAACAAGGACAAGAUCAAGAUAAGCAUUCCUGAGCACUACAUCCUUGAUUCUUGUGGAUGUUCACAUGGUGGAAAAAUGAACAUGAAUACAUAAGCUAGGCUUUCCACAUUGUGUAUGGGAGAGCUGCUUGAAGACUUCAUCAUGUCUUGCUUUCAACUUGAGCCAAGAAGGAACAACAACAUCAAGCUCAAGUGAAAGGGCUAACUCAAAGGUAUCAGUUCCUUUGACGUUAGUGGUGCAGAGUGAUGAUCAGCGAAUAAAAGUAUACACUCAAGUAUGGAUCAUCAGUACCCCUUUUAUGACUCUUGAGUCUUUAGGGAUCCCGCACUAUUAAGAGGAGAUCACAGGUUUUGCGAUGAACUUGCUCAAACUACAUCUCUACUUUUCUGAUCAUACCACAUCUCCACUACUCUGGAGUUAUCUAAAAACAGAACCGAUGCCUCGGACAUCCGGCUUCCUCCGGACGUCCGAGGGACGAACGCCCGACCACUUCGGAAAUCCGGAACCUUAUACUAGAGAAAUCCAAAGUCAAAUAACUCAGACUUCCGGCUCUCUCCGGACGUCCGAGGGCCGGACGUACGGCUCUCUCCGGACGUCCGAGGCCUGGACGUCUGACCCCCUUCAGAAAACCGGAACCUUGCACCAGAAGAUAUUUGAGUCAAAUAACUUGGACUUCCGGCCUCCUCCUGUUGUCCGAGGGCCGGACGUCCGACUUCCUCCGGAUGUCCGGUCCCUGUUCGACUACACAGUGGUUCCUAAUAUAUUUACAUCCCUCGGACGACCGACCCCUGUCGGACGUCCGACCCCUUGUGGGAGUCCGGACAUCCGAGAACUGCCGGAUGUCCGACCACUGUCAGACUUAAGUGACCCCAACGGUCACUUNNNNNNNNNNNNNNNNNNNNNNNNNNNNNNNNNNNNNNNNNNNNNNNNNNNNNNNNNNNNNNNNNNNNNNNNNNNNNNNNNNNNNNNNNNNNNNNNNNNNNNNNNNNNNNNNNNNNNNNNNNNNNNNNNNNNNNNNNNNNNNNNNNNNNNNNNNNNNNNNNNNNNNNNNNNNNNNNNNNNNNNNNNNNNNNNNNNNNNNNNNNNNNNNNNNNNNNNNNNNNNNNNNNNNNNNNNNNNNNNNNNNNNNNNNNNNNNNNNNNNNNNNNNNNNNNNNNNNNNNNNNNNNNNNNNNNNNNNNNNNNNNNNNNNNNNNNNNNNNNNNNNNNNNNCAAGCUAUUUGAGAUUUGUGCAAGUUUUGAGCAUUCCCCGUGAUCUUGUUACUCUUGGAGGUUGGAGACUCCUAGGAGGUAGGAGUUCUUCGGAGAGGAAUCAAUCCAUGUGAUUUCCCCCGGAAAAGUUUGUGAGGGUUUGGAAGCCACCUCAAAGGCUUACCACUAGUGGUUGAGAAACGCCUUCGUGGUGUUAUCUCAAAGAGAGAAUAGGGUGAGCCUUCGUGGCGUUGGUGUGCCUUCGUGGUAACAUCCACCUCUCUAACGGUGACUAGCUUCCCUCCAAGGAAGUGAAUAUUGGGAUACAUCUUUGUCUCAGUGACCUUGGUUAUCCUUAACCCUAACUCCUUACUUGUGGUUUACUUGUGUUACUUGAGCAUACAUACNNNNNNNNNNNNNNNNNNNNNNNNNNNNNNNNNNNNNNNNNNNNNNNNNNNNNNNNNNNNNNNNNNNNNNNNNNNNNNNNNNNNNNNNNNNNNNNNNNNNCGCCCAUUCCUUGGACAUGAUGGACCACAAACAUGAUGCAUACAUGUAAUGAUCAUUGCCAUGAAUAAAUAUUGCAUGACUAUGCGCUUUGCAUAAUUUGUCACGGGGGGGGGGNNNNNNNNNNNNNNNNNNNNNNNNNNNNNNNNNNNNNNNNNNNNNNNNNNNNNNNNNNNNNNNNNNNNNNNNNNNNNNNNNNNNNNNNNNNNNNNNNNNNNNNNNNNNNNNNNNNNUGUUUUGGGUUGCCGUCAUACCAAAGGGAUUGAAUCCAUCCGUGGCGACGCAGACUCAAGGAUGCCUUGGAUCUGCUGCUUUAUCCAUAUGUAAUGAAUCGAAGUGCUUCCACGCUUCCACGUACGAUGUGUGUACCGACAUCUUAUUUCCAUCUGCAUCUAGUUUGGUCCUUUUGCCCAAUUUGUGCCAUGUCAUCAGUCUGGCCGUCUCUUCGACCAUGAAAAGACGUUGAAGACUUGGUAUGUACCGAAGAAUAUUAUCUAUGACUUUGGUCUGCUCUUCUCACCCAUACUGUUGUCUACCACAACAUACUUGGAAGACUUGCAAAUGGGACAGUAGUUCAAUUCCGCAUAAUCAAACCUAAAUAAGGCACUUCCUCUCUCACAACCAUGUAUCUUCUCAUAGGGCAUCUUAAGGACACGAAGUAUUUUGUCCGACUGGUAUAGGUUUGCAUGCAUGACAUGGCCUUUGGGUAAAAAAACGUCCAAAUAGUGUCAUCAUCGCAUCAUAGCAUUCUCUUCCCAAGUUGAAUUGAGCCUUCAAAGCUAUUACUUGUGCAAUGGCAUCCAGCUGACAAAGCUCAGUAUGCUCGUGGAGAGGACGUUUUGAAGACUCUAACAUUUCAUACAAGGCCUUUCAAGAUUGCUCCAGCUCAUCAUCCGAAUCCCGAGCAUCAUCAAAGUCUUGCACCUUGUGUUCGAUCUUGGUACCAUGCUCGUUGGUGUGACGAGAACCACCUCUGCUCUGGUGCGUUGGACAGACUCACCAUGAAAUGUCCACAUCAUAUAAUGAGAUGUAAAACCCCUCCUUUGCAGGUGUUUACCUAUUUCAUCAUGUGUCCUCUUUUCAAAGUUGUCGUACCUAGGACAGGGGCACCAGGUUGUUGUCUGGCCAUUUGCAAAUAUGGCUUUCACAAAUUCCUUGGUUUUUGUAAACCAUUCUUUGGUCAUCUCUUUCUCACUAGUGUGACCAGUGUACAUCCAUGCACGAUCACUCAUCUUGCCUAGCUACUAAACACACAAGAAAUAUAUAUAUAUAUAUAAUUCAGCAUAUAUUCAUCAGUUAAUCAUGUUUGUAGGUUUUAUUACGUCCAUGCAACCUACACACUAAUAGGUAAAGAUAGGUCCUAAUCCCACCCGAGUAUCUGUAGAUUGGGUUCGUGUUCCCAUGCUCUUCUCGAGAUCUGACGCAAAAUUUCGGAAGCACCUCCCCGCUGUUCUCUUGAUACAUGUCUCGGCAAUAAACAAAGAGGAUGUGUACCCGACGAACAACAAUGAGGCUCUGACAAAAUUAUGCAUUGGAUCCGGAGCAGCGCAUAUGGGAAAACGAACCCAAUCUACACAUACUCGGGCUGUCCAUGGAUAACGUUGGACAAUUCGUAAGAAUCACAGUUAUAAAUAUAUGCAAAUGCUUGCAUAUUUAUAACUGUAACCCUUUUGAACAUGAGACGCAUACUGGUCACGAAUACCGAUGAUUUAAUGUACCUAUAUCUAGCAAGUUUCAUCGGCACGAAGCCCAGAAUAGAGCAAAUGAAGGGGAGGAGGAGAUGUCAUUUAUGCUCAACCACGAACACAGGGGCAGAGCUCGUCAAACGCAUGGGGAGGUUGUCGAACACUAGACCCCCGCAGCGAUGAAACAACUCCACAUUUAAGUCCACUCGAUCAACACAAAUAUUUGGUUUUUAUAACAAAAUCAGAAAAUAUAUGACCUAACUCAUAAUUUACAAAAGUAUAACCCACUCGGCAUCUGAUAGGCCGAAGAGGAUCUUUUUGGUAGACAGGAGGCUGAAGCGGUGUCGUGGUUCAAGGGUGAGUGGCGUCGGGAGCGACGUAUUAACAACUGCGCGGGGGAUUGUAGUGGCGAUCUAUCAGUGACAUCUUCCCGUUACCACACGCAAGUGCAGAUGACUGGUGUCAUGUCGGGGUGUCGUGUAAGGGUGUCGGGGUGUCAUGUCGGGGUGUCGGGGAGUCAUGUCGGUGUGUCGGUGUGUCGGGUGUCGGGUGUCGUAUAAGGGUAUCGGCGUGUCGUGUAAGGGUGUCAGGGUGUCAUUUUCUUCUUCUUGCUAUUCUUUCUUUUAUGCUUCUUCCUUUUCUUCUUCUUCUUCUUCUUCUUCUUCUUCUUCUUCCUCUUCUUCCUCUUAUUCCUUUUCUUCUUCUUCUUCUUCUUCUUGUUUCUUCUUCUCCUCCUCCUCCUCCUUUUCGGUAGACACGAGGCUGAAGCGGUGUCGGGGUUCAGGGGUGAGUGGCGUCGGGGGCGACUUACUAACAACUGCGCGGCGGAUUGUAAUGGCGUCUAUCAGUGACAUCUUCCAAUUACCACAUGCAGGUGCAGGUGUCUGGUGUCAUGUCGGGGUGUUGUGUAAGGGUGUCGGGGUGUCAUGUCGGGGUGUCGGGGAGUCAUGUCGGGGUGUCGAGGCGUCGUGUGGGUGUGUCGGGUGUCGUAUAAGGGUAUCGGGGUGUCGUGUAAGUGUGUCACGGUGUCAUUUUUUUCUUCUCCCUAUUCUUUCUUUUAUGCUUCUUCCUUUUCUUCUUCUUCUUCUUCUUCNNNNNNNNNNUUCUUGUUCUUCUUCCUCUUCUUCUUCUUCUUCCUCUUCUUCCUCUUCUUCCUUUUCUUCUUCUUCAUCUUCUUAUCCUUCUUCUUUUUGUUUUUUCUUCUCCUCCUCCUCCUCCUCUUCUUCUUCUUCUUCUUCUUCUUUUCCUUUUUCAUCUUCUAAUUCUCAUCAUCUCCUCUUUUUUUCUUCUCCUUCUUAUUCUUCUUAUUUCUUCUCCUUAUUAUUCUUCUUAUUUCUUCUCCUUCUUAUUCUUCUUAUUUCUUCUUCUUCUUCUUCUUCUUCUUCUUCUUCUUCUUCUUCUUCUUCUUCUUUUUCCUCCUCCUCUUCUUAUUCUUCUUCUUCCUCCUUCUUCGUCGUCGUCCUCCUCCUCCUCCUCCUCCUCCUCCUCCUCCUCCUUCUUCUUCUUCUUCUUCUUCUUCUUCUUCUUCUUCUUCUCCUCCUCUCUUCUUCUUCUUCUUCUCCUCUCUUCUUCUUCUUCUUCUUCUACUUCCUCUUCUUCCUUUUUCCUUUAUCCUGUUCUUCUACUUAAUUAUUCUUCUUCUUCUUAUUAUAUUUUCCAUCUUUGUUGUUCUUCUUCUAAUUAUCUAAACCUAAACCUAGAACUAACCUAAACCAAACACUAAUUACCUAAACCUAAACAAUAAAAACCAAAAAAAACCAGAAAAAACUGGAAACAAAUCUCACGUUGAGGUCCUUCGGAGGGGGUGGCGUGGUGGUGGUGGUGAGGCGUGGUGGUGGUUGUGGUGGUCGGGGGGCGCCGGGAGAGGGAGCCGUUGCGAGGGGCUGGUGCGGUGGUGCCAGCGUGGGGAGGAGAGACAAGGAGGUGUGGGAAGAUCGGGAGAGAGAGAGGUGGGGAUCCGGGAGAGGCAGACGAAAAAGAGGGCAGAUGGGGUCGUGGGGAGAUGGGGUGCGCCACCCGUUAUGUGGCCGUCCCCUUUGCCGUCCGCCUGGGGCUCCUGCUGACGGCAAAGUGGGGGAGGCAGAUGACAAAGAGGGCUACGACGGAUGGCAAAGAAGCACGUGACAGAAACCAUGCCAUCCACUUAACCUAUGGUGCAUUGGGGCUGUCGAGUCUCUUUGCCGUUUGCCUGGUCCAUCUUUGUCAUCCGCGAGUACACGAGAAAGAAUGCACUGAUGGAAAUAGUAUCUUUGCCAUCAACCAGUUCUUUGCCAUCUGUUUGUGGGCAGCUAACGACAAGGAGUCUCUUUUCCAUCAGUGAGGAGACGACAAAGACCACACAUAUGCCAAAUUCCCUGAUUCCAGCAGUGUCUCUCUGUUGGUGCACAGAUGCUCGGAGUCGAGAUGGAGAUCACCGCUUCAGGUCAUCGGUGCUCGCAUGGUGAGAGCCCUCCCCGCCACCCCUUCUUCCUCGAUCUGGAGCCGCCGCAACCUCUAGACCUAUUCCCCUCUAUUCCCCCUCUGUUUGGUGCGCGGGGCGACCAGGGCUUCACCUUCCCGAACCGUUGCCGCCGAACUUCUCGUCAUCAACAAACAGGGGCUCUCCGGCGUCCCUCUCCUCCACUAACCAACGUGCGAUGAUGCCCUGGACCUAGCUGUAACGCGCACUCAUUGAACGACCGCCUGAAUCUUCGCGGGUGAGCACCUCCUCCUCCGUGUCGCAAGGAGGGAGAUGGCAUGUGGUCUCCACCUAUCAUCGUCCCCGUGUCGCCCCCUCUCUCUCACUCACCGGUCUGCCUUGCUAGUGAGGUUUAAAUAGCCGCAUGUUGCACGCACCCCUCUGCCUUGGGCCGAUUUCAUCUGGGCCGGUUGGACUGGCGUCAGUUUUGGCCCAAAGGCCAAUAUUAGCUUUAUCUUUUUCCUAUUUUAGCACAUCUUGCAAAAAUCCCCCAUAUUUAAAUAUAGGUCCAAAUGCAAUGAUUCCAACUCAUAUUUUUUUUCAAAAACCCCGCCUAUUUUAUGAUGCCACUUAUGUAAUUUUUACAGAAAGUUUCAUGCACUGUUUUAUUUAAAAACCUAGUUUUGAAUAUUUUAGCUAAUUGUUAAAAUGCUUUUUAUAACUUUUUAUAUUUAAAAAGUAGAAUUCAAUAAGUUUUACAAAGCUAACAUUCACCACACUAUUUUGCAAAAAUGGUGUGACUUUUUUAGGGUGACUUUAUUUUCACUGUUUCGUCGUGCUCUUAUUUUUGCGUGUUAAAUUGCGACGAUAGAUUGCAUUGUUGACGACGGGUUUGGACCAGAAGACUUUGAAGACCCCGGAGACUUGUUUAGCUAGGCAAGCAACCCUUUUACCAUGUCUAAGAAACCAUUUUAUUGCAUGCCAUAUAGCACUCUACUUUGUUGCAUCUGAUUCAUGUUGAAUCAGUGACCACCUUGGUGGGUUGUCUCUAAGAAACUCCUUGUUGAUACUUGCACUUGGGCAUGACCCUACCUUCUUAUGAGGGUUGUGUGGUUGGGACGGGAAUAUGCAUGGUGAUGAUGAAGCAAACAAUUUCAAAGAGUUUUCAAAAACCCCGUCGAGUGCCACUAAUGCGCGAGGGAGAUGGUGUUGAGCUAGGUAACCAAUUGACAAAGAAGUGGUUCACCCAGGGAAGUUGUGUGUGUUGUUUCGGAGAUAGGAGUGACUUAAGAUUUGUCGACAGUCCCAACCUUACAUGUGCGACCACAUUACACCUUUAUGGGACGAGGAUUUGUCGAUUACCUUGGUGGAUGCUAGCAGAGGGGCCACAUUACUACUGGCGGUUGAGCCGAGUCACUCUCUCGAUAGAGGGUCGUGCGAGGUAGGGAGUCAAUGGACUGUUUUCACAAACACCAAUCACACCGUUGUGUCCCCUCAGAGAUGGUACGUUCUUGAGCGAGGCCCGUAUGAUGUACAUCAUGAGGACGUGGCCAAACGGGUGGACUCUUUGUUUAGUGUCGCCAGGGGAAAUGAAUUGUUCACGUGCUUACCAUGGGUAUGUAGUAUACUGGGAGUCGUGGAUGACGUGGAGGUUCCCCGAGUCUCUUGAGUACAACGCGCAAACCUCUAUUGAGUGUAAAACUAUUCGAAUGUCCACGAUCAAGGAAAGUUGGGUGGUACUGCUUAAACUACGAUGAGAAGUUUUCGCAUAAACCAAGUGUGCGUGUGUGAGAAAGGUGAUUAUGUGAGAAAGAUGAUACAUGAGCUAAGUCAGACUACUUGGCAUGAUGGGUGGACAUGGGAUGUUCAACACUCACUUGAUAUUGAUAUUUGUAACCAGUUCAUAUGGAUAUCGUUUACCUCAUGAUGCAUGCCCUUACUUGAUCAUGUCACUGCACUUGAAAUUCUUCUUUCCGUAAUUUACCUAUUAGUGCUAUGUCAUGUAUUAUUAUUGCCUCGUUCCACAACUUGGGUUGCUUGCAAAUACAUUCAAAGUACUCAUUGGCUUGCCACUUGUUAUUUAAUUUGCCAGGAUGGAAGAGAAGGAAUAUGGAGAAGAGCUCACUGCUGACGAACAUGCGAACUAGGAGGCUUCCCAGUUAGAAUGUGUGUAGGUUAAGGCAGAUGGCAAGGGUUCACGCUUUCGUCCAAGAAUUCCGCUGCUAUUUCUGUUUGGUAGUUAUGUAUGGUGUGUCGACCAUCCAGGGCCUAUCUAUGUAAGACUUGACCUUAAUGGUUUCUAUUUGUAUGAGACGGUGUGUAAGGAUGUAAGACUCUUGUAUUCAUGUUUUGUGUAUUCCGUGAGCAUUGAUAUCUCUGAUCAUUGUGUAUGUGCAUUCCGUGAUCACGACUUAUGAGUCGGGGUCCCCACAGAGCUGGUAUCUGAGCCAUCCUGACUGUUGGAAGCCUUAGUUAGCAUGGACAUUAGAUAGGAUAAACCCCCUUUCAGAAACUAUACCUAGUAUCUAUACUUCGGAGUUUCUGCAUUUCUUACCCCUUCCACUCUAUUUCAAAAGCAUUACUAAGACCCUCCCCUUAAACCUUGUAGAUGGCCGUCGUAGCCGAAGACCUCCUAGCAUCCGACUUUCCCCUACUCCUUGAGGACAGCUUGGAGAAGUGCCAGUUCUUCUAAUCACCUGUUUUCCUCUACCACGAGCGUUGGGUCGAUGCCACCAUGAAGGAGUACCAUGUUGAUGUGGUCGUUAAGGCAAACGACUCAUCGGCGAGUUGGUUCUUUGAAGGACCACAGAUGGAGACCCUGGCAUUGCCAAUUGAUAUAGCUACACGGAAGGCACUCGUCCACCUUCGAGACAUCAUCCCAGAGAUGGACGACAAGCUGGCUACUCGCCACUUUCCUUUCAGGAAAGAUGAUAUUGGCGAGAGUUGGAUAUUGGUCCCAUCACCGGAGGAUGGAACACCAAUCAGAUUCCAGACCUAUUUCAGACUCUCAGCCGAUAGUCCAGCACACAACCUGAUUAAGGAGUUCGUGAAGCUCUACAAGGAACUUCACCACACCCGUGAGCUGCUUCGACAAGCGAAGAUGAAGCUAGACAAGAUCAAGAAGGAUGGAGCCCCCGAGGGAUGACCAGCUAUUGGUUACAGAGGAGGAGUACCACCAGCUAGAGAUACACCCACACAUCAUUAUCGCAUGAGUUUGAAGGAGUAUCGUGCGAUCUUCACUGAUCCGUUGAAGAAAGCAUCAUCGGGAUGGACCUCCUCGUCCUCCGCCCCCCUCGAUGGGAGACGAUGCGUUUAUGGAUGACGACCAGGAGUAUGACCCAGAGGAGCAUGAGCAUGAGACCGAGCACUCCACCACUUGAGUCUGAGAACCCCUCGGAUAGGAUAAGUCAUGUAUACCUCAUGCGAAAUCAAGUCCGUGUAAUGGUUCAUAGGAAACCAUGCGUGCUUAUUGUUUGUUUUACUAUUUGUGUUUCGAUGUGAGUCGCUCUUUUGCCUUAGGCAACAUGUGAGCGACUACACCGCCUACCUUAUCUUUAUGUUAUGUGUUGGGUCUUACGACCUUUGUUUGUCACACUUGCACUAUACCAACUCCCUUAGGCGCAUUUUCCUCUUGUUGCUUUUUUCCAUCGUCUAUUCUAGUUGUUUGACUUGCCUUCUCCAAACAGGAUCGUGACUUCUACCCGCACCAGUACUUUUGGCAACCCGAGCAACGACAACUCUAGCCAGGACCCGGAGGCCGGUGGGUCUGCUCAAGCUAGAGGUUACCAGGAGUAGCCACAAGGCGACUGUCACACCCUGUAUUUAAUAUCACUUAUCUGUAUUGUGAAAAUCUGAGCUUGUUAAAACAUUUUCAAGACUAAUGUUGUCAGUGCCAUGAUUGUCAUUGUAUGAUUGUGUGCUUGAUCAUGUGAUGAUAAAACCCUAUUUCAUAAAGCAGCGAUUUCCAAAAACCCUUACUUAUUUCUAAACAGGGAAAAACCCUACCUUGAGUUGCAGUACAUGCCCUUGAUAGCAAGCAGUGCUUCUACUCAAAGUUGGUGAUCUGAUUUCAACCUAUCUUUAUAUUCCAAAACAAAAAAAAUAAUUAUUUUUGUAAUUAUUUUCCUAAUUAAAUAACAUGUCCAAUUCUGAGGCCAGAAUUGGUAUUCUUACAUGGAAAAAUAUUUUUCAGCCUUAGAAAAAUCUGAUUAAAUUUAGAGAUAAUGAGAAGGACAUAUAUUUUCCAUACAUAAGAUAUUAAACCCUAUUUUAUAUGAUAAUUAUUCAAUAAAACCAUAAAAGUCAUUUUUGUCUCUUUUAACCUUUAGAAAUAUUUCCAAAGGGAAUAUUCUCAAUAAAAUCGUAGAAAAUUCCAGUGAUAUCCCUAAGCUAUAUUUGGUUUCCACAUAAAGUUUCACCUUGAUUAAAUGUGAUUAAGGACCCCAAAUAACCCUAAAACCCCUUUUGUCUAGAUUGAAGUUAGAGCAACUCUACAUAGCAAAGUUUAUCCAAUGAUGGUGAAACUUUGCAAGAAUGCCUAAUACCUCAAAUGAGGGUUCCACACAAAAAAUGGGAUUUGUGGGACUUAGUUUGCCCACACUCUCUUUGGAAGGGACAAAUAUGGUCAUAAUGGAGUGUUUUCAAGUUUACAAAGCUAAACUUGUCCAAUGGAGCUUAAACUUGGUGAAACCCCAUGAUUUAGCACCAAAUGCAAACCUGUUAAGUUGCAGCACCACUGGUGGGGUGCAACACCCUCAAACCACUGUCGAGCACCUUCUGACAGAUAGGGAAAAGCCACCUUAGCCACAGCUAAACCCAACCCAUUUGCUCCAAACUCAUAGAUUAGGUGGCCAAUAUCUGUGUCUAACCCCAGUCAACUGCCCCUCACUGGUUCAAAGUGGAAAGGCCAAAAACCCCAAUUUAGAUUUCAGUUCAAGGCUGACAGCACAAGUAUUUUUUGUCUCCCUUGACCAGCCGAAGCUCCCUCAAGACCCAAAAGGCUAGAAACACUCCCAGCCAGUGCCAGGAUAUCCUAGACACGUCCAAAGUGCCUCAGAGCGCACUAGCAUGCCGUUGCACGCCAAAACUGCGCUCUGGGCGCGCUACAGGAAGCCACUAAGGUGGGGGCAGCGCUCUCGGCCAGUUCCAGCCUCCCCCGAGGUGUCCAACCUCUUCCCCGACAACCUCUCUGUGUCGAGCAACCCUCAGGGCCUCUCCUCUCCCAUGCUAGAGCUCGUGUGACGCGUGCCCACGCACCAGAACCUACCAAGGUUGCAUGGCCACGGAUGCUCGACUUCUCCCCCUCUGCCUCUGCAGCAGAUGGCUCUGGUAGUCCAAAACCAUGUCCUGAGACCGUGGUUUCGGCCCUAGCCUCUCUCUGCACCCCCAUACACGCCACGGUGAGUCACCGGCACACCUUGACCAGCUCACCGUCGCGGGCCUAUAAAUAGCCCUCCCCCUCACUCCAGCACCCCUUAGAUCGCUUCACCACGAUCACUAGUACCUCCCUAGCAACCCCAGCAACCCACCAGAGCCCCGGUACUCGAGAUCGACCAAGGCCCCUCCGCCUCGGAGCUCCGGUCGAUCUGCGGCGACACGAUGACAACUGCGCCCCUCGACCCACCAAACUGAUCCUCUCAACCCCAGAAAGUUUUCUCCCAACUCGCCCGAGCAUUUCCGUGUCUCUAGCCACCUCCUCGACCACCUCCCGAAACUCCUCCGCCAUGGCCUCCUCGUCGCCGGCGAACCCCUGCCUCUCCGACAUUGUUCUGACCACCAGCAGGUAGGCGACAGCAAGGCGAACCCAUUCCAGUCCUUGUUGGGUCUUGAGAGCAUCGGCAACCUCGCCGGCGUGCUCCUCCUCCUCUCUGGCCAAAGGUAGGAGACGACCCCGACAGGUGUGCCCCACCUGUCCGUGGCCCAGCCUCCUACCCCGCGCUGUCCACAGCCACUGACCGAAGGGCCCCGCACGUCAGGUUCAAACCUCACGCGCGCGCGCCUCGGCAGGCUGUCGGCUGGCCAUGGGCCAGCCCAGCUCCAGGCCGAGCUAGGCCAGGAGUUUAGCCGAUUUUCUUUUUAUUUUGAAAAUAUGGUUUCUAAGAUUUUUAUAAAAACAUUUAACGAGUGUAAAAAUAUAUUUUUUCCACUUUUAUUUUUCUAAUAAUAUGAUUGGAUGAAUUUUUCUACAACUACUCUGUUUUACAAUAAUAAAAAGGACUAAAUUGGAAUAGUUUUGCUUCUGUUUGGUUAAUUUCAAAAAUGCUCCUUCAAGGGAAAUUAAGGCAAAUAUUUUUCAAAAUGAUAACUUAGANNNNNNNNNNAAAGAACAUUUUUAAAAUGACUUUGUGAUCUGUUUCUGUUGAGCUAUUUUUUAAUUACUGUUUUAUCGAUGAUAGAAAACCCGUGUGACGAGGGAAUCAGAGCGAAAGACCUCGAAGACCCCGAAUACUUAGCUGACCAAGGCAAGCAACCCUUUGACCAUGACUGAGCAUAUGUUACUUUGCAUGAUUAAAAUAGCAAGUAUGUCCGUUGCAUAUGAUCGUAAGUGCCGGUAAUCAUUUGAUAUGAUUUACCGAUGGCUCCCCCGGAGCACCUGCAUUGAGCUUGAUCCUACCUCUUGAGGGUCAUGCUAAUAUCAUGUUAACAAGUAAACAUAGAAGUAGUAUUAUCAUGAGCAUAUUGAUGACAUAAAGAAAGAGUUUAUGAAAACCCCAUGGGGUGCCACUAAUGCCCGAGGGUGAUGAUGAGUUAGGUGGUCACUUUUGAUGAGCUGAUGCACCCGGUAUUUGUGUGAGUAUGGUUUCAGAAAUGGGAUUAGAUUUAUGAUGUGUCGAUCGUCCCAACCUUACCAGUACAACCACUUACCCCUUAUGGGACGGGGCUAUGUUAAUUACUCUGGUCGGUGCUAGCAAAGAGCCACAUUACUAGUGGCAGGAGUGAUGUGUGGUCACUCUCAUGAUGGGGUCGUGCCAGGUAGGACGACUAUGCCAUUUUUAUGAGUUCCAGUCACACCGUUGGUCCCCGCAUGGUUGGUACUGUCCAGAGUCGAUGCUCGUAAGAUGUACAACAUGUGGGCUGGGUACCAAUUGAGUGGACCUCUUUGUCUAUUAUCGUCAGGGGAAAGGUAUUGAUCUGGUACUUACCUCGGGUAUGUUAUAUACCGCGAGUCGUGGAUGACACGGAAGUUUCCCGGAUCUCGUNNNNNNNNNNNNNNNNNNNNNNNNNNNNNNNNNNNNNNNNNNNNNNNNNNNNNNNNNNNNNNNNNNNNNNNNNNNNNNNNNNNNNNNNNNNNNNNNNNNNCCAUCAAGUGUGUGUUGAUGGGAGGCAAGUCUUUCUCUUUAUGAUGCUUUGUUCCAUCAUGAAAAUUUAUCGAUGGCUUGGUUUGUUGGAACCUAGCUCUCUUUUGGAAAUUAGAUACCUCGUGUUUGUUUUCCUUCAAUUGGUUUCUUGUUUCCUUUUAUUUGGCAUGUGUCAAUGGAUAUCUUAUUCCUUGAGGUAUCUUCUAAUUGAUAUCCUUCAAGUGAUAGUUAUUUUUUGUUUAGUAUCUUAUUAUCACUUGAUACCUUGUCUUUUGGUGACUUAUCAACUUUGUGUUGAGUUGAUUCUUGAGAGUCUUGUGCAUGCAUAUCUACUAUAUACAACUUCUUUUGCUUGCUUUCCUUCUUUGACCCAAUAUAUAGCGGAAACUCCACCUUGUCAUAAAUUGGCUAAAGUGUGCAUGAAAUUCAAAUUCAUAUCUAUAUGCACAUAUGUAUGUGGAGUUUGUCCUAUGUAUUGCUGGUUUUCUAACUCUUUGGUCCCAAUGAGUUUGGGCACCAUUUUGUUUGUUUUGCUGUUCCAGGAACAACUGGAGAUGCAUUGGAUGCUCGGCUCACCUAUAAGGAAGGUGUUGAGACCAUGUGAUUAUUGGAGCCAAGUUAGGAUGAUCAAAGAACAACUAUCUACUACAUCAAUCCAAUGUUGUCUCGGUAACAAGUAUCCACUUCAUGCAUUCUUUUAUUGCAAAGGCCCCAACCUGUCUUUUCUUUUCCAGGUUGCAUCAUGGCAUGAAUCUCUUGAUUCGUACUUGUAGUACUUGUUUGCUUUCUCAAAGCAUCCGAACGAUGAUGUCUUACUACUAGUUGGGAUGUCUUUGAUGUUCGUAUGUUGGAAGUUCAUAUUGUACAAUAAGAAAAUAUUAGGCCAUGUGCGAUGCUUCCAAGCAAAAGAUCUCAUUGAUAUAUUUAUGACUUCCUUUUGGAUAUCUAGUUUGUUCCUUCUUGUAACCAUUUCGUGUGUACAUCCUUCUUUGUGGAUAUAUAUCAUCAUGAUUGUCUUCUACUUAGAAUAUUUUACACAUGAGAGAAGUUACAUCUCUAAUUGAUAUCGUGUUUUCUUUCACGUCCAUCGUUGCAUUUCCUUUUUCAGUUUUUGGUGGCUUCGUGAAAGGAUUUGUUUUGAGUGCGUAUCUUAUUUUCCUACAUCUUGAUGCACUCUUUGGCCGUGAAGAUAAUUUUUCCUCAUGCAUGUCUUGAUGAGGGUUUUUCCAUUUCAAUUAGUAUCCCUCCUCUUGACAAGGUUCUUACUUCCUAUCUUCACAAUGGGUUGUCACAAGCGUUGGUUCUUAUUUUUUUUAUUAGUAAGCUUGUGAACCCAUUUUCUAGUAUGUGUGUGUGGGAAUGAUAUGUCUUGCACUUUGUAUCUCAUUUCAUCACGACUAUGUUGAUGAGUAAUGCACAUCCUUAUCUUAGUCUUCUCAAGUGCUUUGACAUGACUCACACACAUUACUUUGGUUGACCCUAUUCUUAAGUUGCUUCUUUUACUUGUUGCUCAACCAUUUGUUUUGUGCAAUUGAUAUGCUUAUUGUAUCAUCUAUCUUGUUGCACUCGUUGUGUGUUUUUAUUAAUUUUGGGGGAGCAACGAUCCUAUUUUGUGCACCUGUAUCAAAUAAAAAAAUCGCGUAUUAGUGCACAAAUCAUGGGGAGCUUCUCUAGUUUUUGAUAAAACACUCUCUUGCCUUUAUCAUAAUAUCUUUUAUUCAUGUGGUUUGAAGGACCAUAUGAUUGUUUGUUCCAUCUGGAAUCUUUUGAUUGAUUGCCUCUAUUUUUGUAUGUCUUUGUGGCAUACGAUCCUUUUAUUUGCAAUCUUUGGGUCCUCAAUAUAGUUUGUUUUCCUCCAACUACUUAUAAUUGUAUUUGUGUAUUUCUCUACACUCAUUUGCUGAGAAGUACACAUUUUUUUGGAGGACCACCUACUAUAUUGGCUUUCUAAACUUUUCGUCCAUUUUGGCAAUCGAUGCCAAUGGGGGAGAAGUUUAGAGAGUUUACUUUGGAUAUGUUUAGAGGGUUUUGCUUUUUAUUGCGUAAGCAUUUACAUCUUGCACGCAUGCAUUAUUACCUUGUAUGUGUGUGCUUGGUUAUGCUUAUUUCCUUAUAUAAACUCUCUUGAAGUGGUUGUCUUCAAUUACCAAAAUGGGGGAGNNNNNNNNNNNNNNNNNNNNNNNNNNNNNNNNNNNNNNNNNNNNNNNNNNNNNNNNNNNNNNNNNNNNNNNNNNNNNNNNNNNNNNNNNNNNNNNNNNNNUCCCUUCUCCACUAUAAAUACCCCCCUCCCACUUCGUGAGAGGGUGCCCAACACAGCCAUAUCCUCAUAAGAACACAUUUCUACCUCACACACAUUUGCUCACACCAAAUCUUAGAUCCCAAGAGCAUUUGUGAGCCCCUUUGAGAGUUGUUCCAAUCAAAAGAUAGAUCGUCUCCCUCUCCUCCUCUCAACCCAAGCUAUUUGAGAUUUGAGCAAGUUUUGAGCAUUCCAAGUGAUCUUGUUACUCUUCGAGGUUGGAGACUCCUAGGCGGUAGGAGUUCUUUGGAGAGGAAUCAAUCCGUGUGAUUUCCCCCGGAAAAUUUUGUGAGGGUUUGGAAGCUACCUCAAAGGCUUACCACUAGUGGUUGAGAAACGCCUUCGUGGUGUUANNNNNNNNNNUGCAAGUUUUGAGCAUUCCCCGUGAUCUUGUUACUCUUGGAGGUUGGAGACUCCUAGGAGGUAGGAGUUCUUCGGAGAGGAAUCAAUCCAUGUGAUUUCCCCCGGAAAAGUUUGUGAGGGUUUGGAAGCCACCUCAAAGGCUUACCACUAGUGGUUGAGAAACGCCUUCGUGGUGUUAUCUCAAAGGGAGAAUAGGGUGAGCCUUCAUGGCAUUGGUGUGCCUUCGUGGUAACAUCCACCUCUCUAACGGUGACUAGCUUCCCUACAAGGAAGAGAACAUCGGGAUACAUCUUUGUCUCAGUGACCUUGGUUGUCCUUAACCCUAACUCCUUACUUGUGGUUUACUUGUCUUACUUGAGCAUACAUACAUUGCAUAUUGUUUGUGCUCAUUAUAUUGUNNNNNNNNNNCCAAGGAAGUGAAUAUUGGGAUACAUCUUUGUCUCAGUGACCUUGGUUAUCCUUAACCCUAACUCCUUACUUGUGGUUUACUUGUGUUACUUGAGCAUACAUACAUUGCAUAUUGUUUGUGCUCAUUAUAUUGUGUUGGCUAUUUCUUUGUACAAGAUUAAUCGUUCAAGCAUACCCUCUAUAUCCACACGUUCACACUUGCAGCUUUUGAUAUAUCGUGUGUUAUAGUGUGAUCUAGUAUCUUAUGUCGUUCACCUACUUGUCGUGUGAUAUAGCUCAAGUAAGUUUGUGUAACUUACUUGUGCUUGUUAGUAACCGUGUUGUGUCCAUCUUGGUAGAUCAUGUUGUUGGUGCAUGUUGUGGUGCCUAUUGCAUUUAGGAUUUGUGCUUGAAAAGUAUCCUCUUAGUUNNNNNNNNNNNNNNNNNNNNNNNNNNNNNNNNNNNNNNNNNNNNNNNNNNNNNNNNNNNNNNNNNNNNNNNNNNNNNNNNNNNNNNNNNNNNNNNNNNNNAGGAUCAAAAGAUUUUAUGAUGGGUGAAUAAAGAGAGUGUUCUAAAGAAAAUAGGAUAGCUCCCCCAAGGGACGUGCAUUAUAUAGAAUUUGCAUUUAAAUACAAAAUGCACACGAUGGGAUCAUCACUUUCUCUAUAUCUAUAAAAACACUAGACAUGUUAAAAUAGAUCCAUAAGAGGCAAGGAAGACAAACGAAACACAAAAUCCAAUGUAAAGACAAUUAGCAAUUCCUAUCACAUGAUGGGAAUACCAAUUGUCAAGGACAAUAAGUAUUUUGGAAGUGAUACUCAUUGGUAGAUCGCAAAUAUAUCCAAGAUCAUCUUUACCCAUAAAACGCAAGCAAAUGACACUUGUAGAGCUACCAUGCCACCUAGGAACAAGAUAAUUUACAAUAUCAACACUAAGUGGCAACACCUCAAAUGUACACAUUUUCUAGGUUUGUAAUAUGCACAUAGCAUAUUACUCCCCCAUAAUGUGAUAAACCAACAAUAUUAACAAGUGGCAAAUUAAAACCAACAAGACAUAAUUAAUGGACCAUAUAGAAUUUGAAUUUCUCAUGAGUAAGACAUACCACAUAGAAACUAGAUAAUCUUGAAAUAUCAAUACUAAGUGGUAUUCCCCAUGUAUACACAUUUAUAGGAUUGUGAGGUGUGCAAAGCACAUCACUCCCCCAUAAUGGGAUAAUCCAUUAAUCUCCCACAAGAGCCAACAAAGAUACAAACAAGAUGCAAAAAGGCUCAAUACAAGACUCACAUGUACAUGAUAUGCAAACCAACAUACACAUACUCGAUUACUCAAGAUAAGCAAGUUGGAAGCACAACAUAUACAAAUGCAUGCAAGAUACAAAACCACAACAUGCAAAGGGGCAAGCAACUAACACUGUAAACAGUUUAAGUACAAGUUACCGUAAUGAGGCACAUUGGAUAUAAGAUAGAAACUCGAUAAUCCAAAUGACUCGGCUUGAUAUAAUAUGAAUGAUGAAGACCCUUUAAUUCUUCAUUAUGUAUCCAAGUCUCUAAUGUCCUCCAUAGUCACCUAUUGAUCAAGUUUGAGCUUGUUGGUCCCCAACUACGUUGGUUCCUAAGAGGUUAAUUACAAUAGGCUUGGCAACCCAAAUGGUUCUUUUCUUGACAUCAUUUUGAGUACCAACAAACUUGGCAAACACAUUGCCAACCUUAUCCUUCGCAAGGGAAUAGAUAUCAUGAAUAGUGAUUGGGUUGGAUAAGUUACCUCUUGUGCAAGACGAAGCAACGUGACCCUUCUCACGACAUAAGUAGGAAUAUCUACCCUUUGCUUUCUUCCCAGUUCAUUUCUCACCUCGGGGAGUGUUGGCUUGGGUCUUAUUAGGAAGAGGCCUUCCUUGAACUUGUAGCUGAGUAUGUGAUUGAGUUUGCGGUCGCUUCCCUUGUUGCUUGUGACUUUGAGACUUCGUCUUUAGAGGGCAAGCUCUAACAUGGUUCCCUUUAACUUUGCACUUGAAGCAAAUGAUUUUGGCUGAAUUCUUGACUUGUUCUAGGCCCCUCUUGUUCUUGUUUGAGUUUACUCCAACAUCAUUUUUUUCAUUUGGAGAUGUUUGCUCACAUAGGACGUUGUUGAGUGUGGACAUCCCUUCAUGACAUUGUUCCAAGUCUUUCUUCACAGAAGUGAGUUGGGCCUUGAGCUCUUCGAUAUCCUCUGCACGGUUAGUAUCAACGCAAGUACUAGAGGAAGUGUAAGCUUCAAUGUUAGAGAAACAAGGCAAGGAAAGUAAUUCAUCACACGAGGUAGCAACAUUAUGAGUAGACGAAUUACGAGGACUAGCACAUGGAAAUAUAGUAUUUUGACUAGAAGUAGUGCCAUUGUCCACAUGAGGCUCACUUGAUGUUACCUUGGUGAUGAUAGCCUCAUGAGCUAACUUUUGCACAUUAUGGGAUGUUAAAAGAUCGGCAUGAGAGCUUGUGAGCAUUACAUGGUUUUCUUCUAACUUCCGAUAACUGCUAGUUAGUAAGUCAAGUUGAGCACGUAGCUCAAUAUUCUCCUUCAAUGUAGAUACUUCAAAUGAGGUAGAGUUAGAUGUACAAGUAUCAUCAACAAUAUGAGAGGAGUAAGUAGAAAAUAGAGACUUCUCAUGAGUAGAUUGAAGCUCCUCAUAGAUCUUAGAGGUUUUGAUGAGCUCUCCCUUGACAUUAUUGCAUUCCAGGAGAAGGACCUCAAAAUCCUUUUUAAGUUUAUCAUGAGCAACUUCAAUCUCUCCUUUUGAAGAUCUUAAGUCUCUACAUGUUUGAUGACUCUUCUCAAGUUCAUGUUCAAGUUGUUCACUUUUAGCUUGUUCAUGAUUAAGUGAAUCAAUACAAUUUUCAAAGUAAGCAAGAACAUCUUGGAAUCUUUGAAGAGCGUUAUUUUUAGCUUUAUGAAGAAUUUUACAGAUCACAUAGAUAUUUUCAGUCAAGUCAUCAUCAUCAUCCUCAUCACAAAUAUCAUCGUUAUUGCACAGGGAAGAUGAUACCUCAUUAUUUCCUCUUGCCAUGAGGCACAUGUGAACUGGAGGAGUUGAUGAUGAUUCUUUUGGUGAAUCAGAUUCUUGUUUAGUCAAAAGUACUUCAUAUUUCUUGAUUUCCCUUAAAUGAUUAGUCAUAGAGCAACAAGGGAGAAACAAGAUAUUUUGAUCAAGAGGACACGGGAAAGCAGACAUAUCACCACAGAUAUUUGUCGAGGGAUCUUUACGUGAAAUGCAUGACCCAUCAGCACAAUAAUUUACACUAUGUGUGGUGCUUGAUAUGCUCGUGUCCAUAGAGGCUAUGACAUUUCCAUUAACAUAUAUUUCUUCACUCACCAUGUCAUUACCUUGUGAGAUUGAAGAAGCUGAGGUGUGCAAGCAAUCGGAUAUGGAAGUAGUGGUGGACUCUUUAUGACCGAAAAGAGUGAAGAGCUCAUGCACCAACUCCUUCAUCAUAAUAUCGUCUUCAUCAAGAUUGGAUCCACCAUAUAUAUUUUCAAGUUUAGUCCAAACUUCAUGAUCUGACUUGUAAGUUGAGAUAGACUUAAAAACUUCAGGACUUAUGGUUCGAUGAAUGGCAAGAAAAGCCUCACAAUCAAGAUACAUUUCAUUAGUAGAUUAAGAUGCAUCAUCCUUUUUGUCGGCAAUCCCUGCAAGAACAAUUCAUAAAGUAUUUGGGCCCAUGGCCCGAAAGUGAUGAAGCAUACGAAUUCUCCAUAGGGUAUAAUUUGUGCCAUCAAAGUCAAAGGUGUCAUUGUGCACUAAUCGAAUAGUCGACAUCGAUACUCUCUAGGUAAUGAAACCUAAUUAAAGAGAGACCUUGCUCUGAUACCAAUUGAAAGGACCACGAUGACGCCUAGAGGGGGGGGGGGGGGAAUAGGCUCUUUAAAAACUUCUUCGGAUUUGGAUUAAACCUAAUGCGGAAAUAAACUAAGAGGAUACUUUUCAAGCACAAAUCCUAAAUGCAAUAGGCACCACAACAUGCACCAACAACAUGAUCUACCAAGAUGGACACAACACGGUUACUAACAAGCACAAGUAAGUUACACAAACUUACUUGAGCUAUAUCACACGACAAGUAGGUGAACGACAUAAGAUACUAGAUCACACUAUAACACACGAUAUAUCAAAAGCUGCAAGUGUGAACGUGUGGAUAUAGAGGGUAUGCUUGAACGAUUAAUCUUGUACAAAGAAAUAGCCAACACAAUAUAAUGAGCACAAACAAUAUGCAAUGUAUGUAUGCUCAAGUAAGACAAGUAAACCACAAGUAAGGAGUUAGGGUUAAGGACAACCAAGGUCACUGAGACAAAGAUGUAUCCCGAUGUUCUCUUCCUUGUAGGGAAGCUAGUCACCGUUAGAGAGGUGGAUGUUACCACGAAGGCACACCAAUGCCAUGAAGGCUCACCCUAUUCUCCCUUUGAGAUAACACCACGAAGGCGUUUCUCAACCACUAGUGGUAAGCCUUUGAGGUAGCUUCCAAACCCUCACAAAAUUUUCCGGGGGAAAUCACACGGAUUGAUUCCUCUCCAAAGAACUCCUACCGCCUAGGAGUCUCCAACCUCGAAGAGUAACAAGAUCACUUGGAAUGCUCAAAACUUGCUCAAAUCUCAAAUAGCUUGGGUUGAGAGGAGGAGAGGGAGACGAUCUAUCUUUUGAUUGGAACAACUCUCAAAGGGGCUCACAAAUGCUCUUGGGAUCUAAGAUUUGGUGUGAGCAAAUGUGUGUGAGGUAGAAAUGUGUUCUUAUGAGGAUAUGGCUGUGUUGGGCACCCUCUCACGAAGUGGGAGGGGGGUAUUUAUAGUGGAGAAGGGAAAGUGACCGUUGGGGUCAGUUAAGUCUGACUGUGGUCGGGCAUCCGGCAGUUCUCGGAUGUCCGGAAUCCCACACGGGGUCGGACGUCCGACAGGGGUCGGUCGUCCGAGGGAUGUAAAUAUAUGAGGAACCACUGUGUAGUCGAACAGGGACCGAACAUCCGGAGGAAGUCGGACGUCCGGCCCUCGGACGACAGGAGGACGCCGGAAGUCCGAGUUAUUUGACUCAAAUUUCUUCUGGUGCAAGGUUCCAGUUUUCCGAAGGGGGUCGUACGUCUGGAGAGAGCUGGUCGUCC